UUUUAUCAACUCUUCCAACUUUAUGUGGCUAUAAAUACAAACAAAAAAGAGUUGGGGGGAAAAACAGACAAUUAAAGCCAUAUUAUUCCUCUUUCUCCUUUUCCUUUUCCCUUUCCCUUCAACAAACAUUACUGAUUUCUAUCAAAACCAAGAGACAAUGAACAAAGUUCUUCCAGUCACAGUUGUUUGUCUUUUCGUGCUGGCCGUUCUUGGCGGAGUUCGUGUUGCAGAGGCGGUGAGUUGCAGCCCUUCGGAGCUGAGCUCAUGUCUCACGGCAAUCACGUCGAUGGCAGACCCAUCCGCCACUUGCUGCAACAAAUUGAGAGAGCAGCAACCAUGUCUUUGCGGGUACAUAAAGAACCCAGCUUUGAGUAGUUAUUUGAAUUCUCCUCGCGCCAAACAUGUUGCUUCCAAAUGUGGUGUUCCCACUCCAAGGUGUUAGAGGGUCUUUCUUUUGGGCCAUAUGUGUGGAAAUUAAGCUGGAAUAAUUUUAUAGUUAUUCCUAUGAAUAAAACAAUAAAAGAAAAAAACGAUCUAUGUGUUUCUUUUUUUUUUUUAAUUAAGUUAUUAAAGUAGGUUCAUGUUGAUCAUAUAUCUCUUUUCUUUUUUCUUUUAAUGAAUUAAAAUAAUAGGUAUGGUAUGUUUCUAUAAAGAUAUUUUUAGAUUGGUGUUUUCUUUGUUAAAUGUUUCACCUUUUUUCUCUUUUUUAGGUUGCUGUAAAGUAAAAUUGAACAAUAUCUUGGUGAUGAUUAGGUUGCAAAUAUCUUUAUCUCUCCAACUUACAUAGUUUUUCAACAAAAAAAAAAAAAUUUGUUAGGGGAAGAUUUUUGCUUUUUAUUAAAACUUACUAGAUUUUUUCAUGCUGUCUUUUAUAAAAAGAAAAAUUGCAAAAAUAUUUCCAAAUAAGUUUGACAACACUAUUUUUUUUUGCAUACUUCAAAUAUGACAAAGUUAAUGAUAUCAGACUACUAUUAAACGAUAAUCAUCGGUAAUCUAGAGUUGUUGUUGGAGUUGUUGCAGGACUAAUAGACAGUAAUUGUAUGACAGUAGACAGUAAUUGUAUGACAGUAGACAGUCAUCCCUUCUAAAUUAAUUUGCAAAUUUUGUAAAUUUAAAAAAUUUUAUAAUUUUGUAAAUUAAUUUGCAAAUUUUGUAAAUUUAAAAAAUCUUAUAAUUUUGUAAAUUUAAAAAAUCUUAUGACAUGAUUUCUAUUAUCAUACAUUUUUGCUAUUUUUACAAAACUCCAUAUAAAGAUAUACAAAAAUAAGUAAGUCUUCUCGUUGUUGAUUAAGAUAUGUAAAGAGUUGGAACUAAACGUUGUUGAUUAAGAUAUGUAAAGAGUGGAUUUACUUUAGUUCUAUUAACCUGGUUUGUUAGUUUUGGUUAGUUUUUAUGAAUUAGUUUUGGUUAGUUUUUAUGAAUUUAAAUUUAAUCAAAGUAGAUUUUUAAAAAUUUGGAAAGAUAUUUUGUAAUUUUGUUGUAUAAAGUAUAAAUAGGUAUAGGUUCUUUGAAAGGUAAAUAGUUUAUAUAAAAAGAACCCUUAAAACAAGAAUCCUUAAAAUUUGAAUUAUAGAUUGUAUCAUAACCAUAUUCAUAUUCAAAUAGUUUAUAUAAAAAGAACCCUUAAAAUUUGAAUUAUAGAUUGUAUCAUAACCAUAUUACGAAUGCAGUUUGUUUUUAAAUAUACUAAAAUAAACAAAAAAAAAAAAAAAAACUUUUGUAUAGAUUACAUUAUACUAUUAUUAAUAGUAUAUCACUCGAUGUGAUAUUUUACUAAUAUUUUUCUAAAUACUUUUAGUAUGGUGCCCUUCUUCGCAUCAAUUAAACGUUUCUAGACAUCUUUAUAAACAAAUCAAUUUAGAUAUUCUAUUACUUUGUUUAACAAAAUCCAUACAUGAACUCCUACUUAUUUAUUUGAUAAAUUUAACAUUUAAAUUCUAUUUCGAGAGUGGAAGAUUUAAACACAUGGAUAAUUUAUUUAAUCUUAAUAAAGGAUAUAAAUAAUUUCUGUUAUUAUAAUUUAAGAUUAACAUAAACAAUUAUAUGUUUCAUGCAACUUUGAUCAAAAUUCAAAUCUUAAAAGUAGUGUCAAUUGAAAUUUUUACAGAAGUUAAAGAUUAAAUCAUAUAUAAUUAUUAAUUUAGAUUUAAAUAAAUAAAAUAUAUAAAAGGAAGAGGUAAAUUAAAAAAUUUCCCCUUAUAUUUAUAUGUAUAGAUGAAUCAUGAAUUGAAAGGGAAGAAUUUGAAUUCAAAGUGUCUUAAUUGAGAGGAUUGGUUGUGGGGCUGUGAGUGACAAAUGUUAUAUGUUUUAGGACAGCUGGUUGAUCCAUCUUUAUUCAUUUGACAUGUUGGAUCUUCUCUUACUUACUUACUCAUGUAUGUUUUGAUGAUACUAUUGGCACUGGCCCAGACUCCUCUUAUAUUUCUCUUCUAAAAACCAAUUGGCACUUGAAUUUAAAAUAUCUGAUCUUGGUUCUUUAAAGUAUUUUCUUGGUCUCGAAAUACAAUUCUCCACUAAUGGCAUUUUUGUCAACCAAACACAUUGAGAUUGAUUCCCAUUUUGUUCGGGAAAAAGUUCUUCGUAAAGACAUCUCUGUUCGACGCAUCUCCUCCAACAAACAACUUGUUGAUAUACUCACAAAAGCUACUUCUGUCUCUCAUAUUUCUUCACCUUUGAAAUAACUACUAACUCCCUCUGAAUCUUUGGUUUGAGGUGGGAUAUUAGGAAAUAAUAUCAUAUUACAAAAUCUACUCCUAUAAUCCCUCUAUUUGUUGUAAAUUGAUUUGUAAUUAUUUUUUACCAUAUUUGUAUCUUCAAGCAUUGUAUAAAUAUUCAUUUUGAUCAAUGAAAAUAGCAACCAAAUUCAAUACAAUUCAUUGGUAUUUUACAUGAAGGAGAGAGAAAUGAAUAGGAAAUGCAAGAAAGCGGAAUGGGAGGAGGACGAGGCCACAAAGUUGGCAAUAAAGAAAGAUGUAGAAAUCGUUGAUGCACAAUCCAUAAAACCCAGACUUUAGCUUUAGGGAAAUUGUUGUUGUUGUCCAAGUCAUCCAAAUGGAUAUCGGUUGUUGCUACCCAAGUCACCGCCACUCCAUCUGAUCGAUUCCCUCCAUUCAUUGGUUGCAAUUUGUUCAUCUACAGAUGGAUGUGUUGUGUGAGGAAGAAAUUGUGGGUUUCAAAAUUUUAGAGCUUUUUUAAACUAAAGGAUAAUUUAGAUAUUUCACAUAUCCAUUUGUCCCAAGACUCUUCUUUUCAAAAUUUGGUCUCAUUAUCAAAUUUGUACUGUUUUUGCCAAUUAAUCAAAAUUUAAUUAAUGCCUAAAACUUUAAACACUAAUCAAAAUUUAAUCAAUGUUCAAUUAUCAUCAUCGAAACACAGAUAAAUGAAUGUUAAUUAACAUAAUUAAAUGCAUGAUAAAGUCAAACAAGUAAAUUGUCACCAUUUUGUUUGCUAAUUUUAUGUUUUUUAAUCAUAAGUGUUAGGUAACAAAAUUCGUUGCCACAUUUGUAAACUAUAUCAAUCAAAAAAUUUAAUAAUUUGUAACUAUGUUAUUUUUAGGAUUUUUCUUUUUAUCUAUCAAACAGUUUCUGAUAGACCAUUUUAAUAGUCCAUUACUGUUAAUACACGAAAUUGUUUUUGCAUAUAUUGAUUGAUAAACAGUUUGUAGGAUUAUCAUUAUUGAGAGGUAUCUAUCAUGUAUCAACCACUUUAAUAUAUUUGUGAAUUAACAAUAUAUAUUUUACAAGGGGAAUUUUACAUAAAUAAAAAAAUUGAAAGUAUUUACGUUAUAUGUCAAAAAAACGAAGCUUAGGACACGUAAUUUUCACUUUUUGAAAUUUUCAAAAAUACCUUUUAACAUAUUUAAAUCUUCACACGACGAUUACUCGAUUCUCAGAUAUCUUCCAUCUAGAGAGUUUUUAACGUGUUGUUCCUAGUUGAUUGUCAUCUCUCUUUCUUUUACAAUCAUCGAGAGAUUUUGAUCACCAAUGACACUAUUUGUACAUCAUUGAUGUUUCAAUCACCCAGACCCCAUUCUCAGGUCUCGUCAUGUGAUUAAGUGAAGGUGUGACCACCUAGACAUUGAUCAAUGUCUAUCUAACCAUGUCAUAAUGCGUUGGGCAUCUAGUAAGCGAAAUUUUAUGACAACUAAUUCACUUGUUUAACUCGUGCGGAAGAGUUUGUGGUAACUUAAAGUAUUGAAUAGGAGGUGUGGUAACUUAACUUGUUGCACACAUUUACUCCCUAUGAGAGGCUAUAAAAAGGAGAGGUUGAAAGCAUCAGCAAAAGCACAGAAACACACAAAUUCGUUAUUCCUCCCUUCCUCGUAACACAAUCAAAUGAAGAAUUUUCCUAUCACAAUCGUUGUUUGCAUUUUCGUGGUGGCAACCACGGUGGCUCUUCUUAAUGGCGCUCCUCCGGUGGUUGCUCAAGUGGAAUGCGACCCAUCACAGCUCUCGUCAUGCACAGCAGCAUUUUUUGGGAUGACGCCCAGUCAGACAUGUUGCAACAAGUUGAGGGAGGCACAACCAUGCUACUGUGAAUAUAUCAAUGAUCCAGAUUUGAGGAGUUUCGUGAAUUCUAGUGCGGCUAGAAGAAUUGCUAAAUCCUGCAACAUUAGCUUACCAACUGAGGCUGACUGCUCUAAAUAGAAACCCUACUUACUUGAGUUUGGACUCUUCUACAAGAAUUAAGUAUUGUUAUGUCUCUUUAGUUUAAUCUAAUAUACAAUAUUCUGAUCCCAACUAAAAAUAAAGGGAAAACCAACCUAUACUUUCUAUAUAAAUUAAAAGCUCAAUAUUACGUUUUAAUAUACCGCCUUACCCAUUAUGAGUUAAUAAUAAGUCAGUAGAUAGACAUCUCAAAUUGGUAUUAUGGCUAGUGCUAUCUUUUAAGGGUUUAAUUUUGUUAUUUUGUCAGAUAUAUUCCAUCGUUGGAAAUAUUAAUUAAGCUAAAAAUAAUAGAAGAUUAAGUCAACAUUACCUCUUUUUGAAGAAAAGAAACUUUGCCCUUCUCCUGCAAAAACGAAUUAAAUCUUUUUAUUCUAUGAAAUUUGGUUGUCAUUUAAAUGUUUUUCGUUUCUAUUUAUUUAAAAAUUACUUCAUCCACUUUGUAUUCAGGAGAGAUACUCGGUUUCUCAACCUCCUUUUACUAUAUUAUAAUUUGGUGCGUUCAGCUCAAGCUAAGAGCUUUAAUUUUUGCAAUAUUAGUUUAUAUCACAUUUGAACAGUAUAUAUAUAUCUAUACACAUUUGAACAAUAUAUUAUAUCACAUUUGAAUAGUCUAUAUAUAUAUAUAUACACACACACAUACACACAUAUAUAAGGGUUUUUAAAAAAAUUAUAACAAAUCAAUAACAUAUUUACAAUAACAUAUUUACACUAUACUGAACAAUUUUGAAAAUGGAAAACUCCAAGGCCUACGAUAGAAAAUAUAAAAAAUAUCUUAGUCAAGACACAAUUAAUCGACCACAGUCGCGUGCGAGUAAUUUUCUUCUAAACGAUCGUGUCUUACCGUCUCAACGAAUGACAAACGAUUGUGUAAUUCUUUUUUAAUAGAGGAAAGAAAACGUCAAAUUAAAAUAAUCAUGUUGACCAUGACAAACGAUUGUGUUAUCAUGGAACAUGAUCAUGUUGAUUAUAGUUAGCGAUCGUAUACUCCAAUAUAAAUGAUAUUUAAAAACCUUAAAUCUAAUGAUCGUGUUGACCAUGGUGAACGAUCGUGUUAAUUAGUGUUAAUUAGUGUUGAUUAUGGUAAACGAUCGUGUACUCCAAUAUAAAUGAUAUUUAAAAACUAAAUCUAACGAUCGUGUUGACCACAGUAAACGAUCGUGAUUAUUAUGAUAAACGAUCAUUCAGAUCAUAUAUAGUUCUUUUAAACAAUCAUUCAGGUCAUGAUUACUUUUAAUAAUAGAGUUCAUGUCACUUAUAUUUUUAAAAUUGUGAAAAUAACAAAUUUAGAAAUAGAUUGAAAAAAAAGUGUUACGAGCUAAUGAUCCAAAGGUAUAUGAUAUGGUUCUUCUCUUCUCAUUUCUGUUAACAAAAAAAAAAAGGCUUAAAAGUUCAUUAUUUUGAACCACUUAUAAACCAAUAUCAAAUCACUAUAUUGUAGAUUAACUAUAGUGAUUAAAAAAGUCUACUCUAGAUUAUCCCUCUGUCUAGACACGCUUAGUCUUUAAAACUUUGGACACUAAUCAAAAUUUAACUAAUGCAAUCUUUAAACACUAAUCAAAAUUGAACUAAUUAAGGCCUAAAACUUUGAACACUAAUUAAAGUUUAUUCACUGCACAAUUAUAUCAUCAUCCAAAUACUGAUAAAUGAAAAUUAAUUAACAUAAUGAAAAGCUUGGUAAAGUCAAACAAGUAAAUUGCCAUCAUUUGUUUGCGAAUUUUAUGUUUCUUAAAGAUUAGUGUCACGUGAUAAAAUUCGUUGCCACACAUUUGUAACUAUAUCACAAAAAAUUAAUAAUGUGUAAGUGUUAUUUUUACGAUUUUUUUGGAUCUAUCAACAAUAGACUGAACCAUUUUAAUAGUCGAUACACUAAAUUGUUUUUGUAUGGUUGAUUACUAAAAAAUUUGUAGGUUUAUCAUUAUUGAUAGAUGUCUAUCAUUUAUGAACCACUUUAAUAUUUGUGUGAAUUAACAAUAUAUAUGCUAUCAAGAGAAAUUUACAUGAAUAAGAAAAAGUGAAAGUAUUUACCCUGUAUGACAGAAAAAUGAAGCGAAAUAAUAGGUUUUCUGGAUAAUUCAUGGUCGAACAUAGAGAAUUGAUACAAAACAUUAGUUAUAAGGCUCACUCUUCAUCUAGUCGGUAUAAAAUAACUAUCUAAUAAGUCUAAGCUAAAUCUACUAUCUACACUAGAAUAUGUAAAAGGGGACAAAAAUAGUGGCGAGAUGAAAAUGUGAACUAACUUGUAUUAAAAAGUGUCAAGGAAGGUCUUCGUGUUAUUAGGCAAUUAAGCCAUCUAGCUUAUAAUUAAGUUGAGCACCUCUCAGUGCCUUAAACUCACACUAGCUUGCCUUCUCGAGAUACAAAUGAUAAAACUUGGUUAAGACGGAUCUAUCUAAAAGUGUUUACUUACAAGACUUAUAAAACUUCUCUUUUAAGGGUGCAGAGAAGAAGAAGAAUGACUUUUUACAGAGGACAGAAAGACUACUCCUUUCCGCCACUUUUAGGGUUUGGUCGAUCCAUUUAGAUGUUUGACUCUUUUCGAAGUCGACCACUUUACUUGGUAAGGAUGAAGUCUUUUUAUAGGCAUCUUUCGAUGGAAAACAUCUAUUCUUCUGAUCAUGUCAGUGUCGAUUGUAGCAUUUGUCAAGUUACAUCAACCCCAACUACCAUUCUUGUCUUCUAGUGAACCUUUCUCGCGUGAUGACGUAAUUCCUCACCUCAGAAUUAUACUCACCAGACAAUAUUCUCUCGCGUAGUCUUUUGCAUGGGCUCUUAUAUGAUUCACUAAUAUCUUCAUUUAUUCAUAAUUAUGAGUUAAAACACUAAAAACCAAGGUAAAACAGACACAGAGACUUAUGUAAGGUGUAUUUUCCUAAUAGUUAUGAAUUUUCAAUCGAAGUUAACAUAAAAUUUUCUCUCAAGCAACAACGUUGCCACCCUAAACUCUAUAAUUUAAGGUAAGGGGUUUAUUACACACCAAAUCCUCGACAUGAGUAAGACUGAGAUUGAUAAUGUGAUUAUUAUUGAUUAUAUAUUGGGUUGGUUUAAUAGGCAUUGAUAGUAUGACUGAUUUAAUUGAUGACUCAUAAUGAAAUACUUGAGACAUGAUGGUUACGAAUGAGGUUAUUGAAUAUAUUUUACAUGUUAUGUUUAUGACUGAAUUGAAUUGAGAAUGACUAAACUAGGAUGUGUUUGAACUAAUGACAACUAUUAACUUUGAUUAUUAGGUUAAUAUAUACCCUAUAUGUAUAGUGUUCUAUAGGAUCCCCACUUAUAGGUAGUGCAUUAAGUGGAUAACUUUUACUAUUGAUGUGUGCUCUAUGAACUACUAGACUGAUCUCUUACUGGGUAUUUGUUCAAUUUUUCAAACAAAGACAAGGCCGGUAAGAAGGAUCUACGAUUGUGAUUGUGCCAUUUGGAACUAUUGUGACAAUGCUUUCGCUACUUUAUUUUUGUUUUCAUGUUUUAGAGCCACAUGUCUAUUGAUAGAUUUAUCCUAAACUCAUGAUUGGUCCAAAUAAAUUACUUUUUUGGUGAUUGGUUAUUAUAUUUUACUAAACAUUUUGGUUUCUGUUUAGAUUGUUUUAUUGAUUUCAUUUCUUUAUUUAAUUAAAAUGAAUUAAACUUUGCGUAGUUUUCAGUUGGUAACAUGUUAUUUUUGAAAUAAUCUACACACAAAUUGCAUAAGCAGAAAUUAAAACUUGUGUCGGCAGAAACCCAAACUUCAUGGGUUUCACUAACAUCAAUCAACUCUCUCCAAGGAUAUAUUUUUCUUACGCGAAACAUGGUGUUAUACCUUUGCAUAGAAAAUCCAUCAACAUAAAUCAUCUUUAUUGACAUUUUUGUUACGUCGGAAACAGAAAUUGUUCACCCAGCUAAAGAAAUAUCCUUUUCUUGCUGCAGGCUCACUGGAUGUUGGCCCUCCAGAGGUCGACUGUUCUCCCAAUACUCUGCAUCAACCAUAACCUUAAAUAUUACCACAUUCUCUACUCAUUCAUUCAGAUUCUCUAAAAAAUUCCGUUGUGUUACGACCCUUGUUAUACGUUUCUUAAUCCUGUUCAUGGUGAACUCAACCGGCAAAGCAAUUAAUUAAAAUGCAAACGAAGAACAUAAAGGCCAAAAUUAAUGCAAUGCAACCAAGAAAAUACAUACAUUUAGAUCCACAAAUAGGACUCUCGAUUCGUGUAAUCCUAAGAUUCAUGUAUUUAGAUCAAAGAUUGGUGAAUUAAGGAGCACAAAUUCAACAUAGAAUUCUGGAAUUAUGAAAUAUUAAAAAACCAAAUGUCAGGUAUUUAAACAAUAAUGUAAAACAAAUUCUUGUACAUACCGACUUCGAUUAGAAUUGUUGUUAGUUGAUAAUAUUAGAAGAAAAUAUAGAAAAUGUUGCAAACAGUAUGUAAGGCAUAUGCUACUAAUCAAGGUAAAAGUUUCCAACCUCCUAACUUUCAAAUAUUGGUGAAAAGCUUUAAUAUUUUCUAGUUAGAAAAAAUAAAAAAAUUAUAUUAGAUGACAAAAGAAUUUAGAAAAAGUUUUUUUGUAAUUAAUGAUAUCAACUAUAAAAAAAUCUAUCAAAAGAUUACGAGAGAGUUAUUAGAGAUUAUCUGUUUUAAAAUUUGUUAUUUUUACAAUUUAAGAUUUUAUUAUAUAUAUAUAUAUAUAUUUUUUUUUGUUAUUUUUACAAACUCCAAAAAAUAAUUGUGUACUUAUUUGUAUUUAAAAUAAUUUUUAUAUGAACUUUUGGUCACUGUUCCAAAGUUGGGAGUUUGUCACUAUUACCACCACCAACCAUAUAUUUAAUGCAAACUAUAGAUGUUACCAUCAUAAAGUUAACAACUCGAAAUUAAUUUUAUUGAAAGUUAACAACUCAGAAAUUAAUUUUAUUGAAAAGUUUAAGCCAAAACAGAGAAGUUGGUAUAGAAGUGAGGUGCUCACAUUCCACUUUAUGAGGUUAUAAAACGUUGUUUUGAAGGUGCGGCAAAUAGAAACCUAUCCCUCAUUUCUAUAUCAAAAGAAGAAAAAUAAUGAAAAAUCUUGGGUUCACAAGUCUUCCCCUUUUGGUGGUGGCAAUGGCGGCCCUUCUCACUGGAGCUCGUGUUGCCGACGCGAUAACUUGCAACACCAUGGGGCUGAGUCCAUGCAUUGGUGCAAUGACAUCGACGGCGCCACCGUCCACCACUUGUUGCAGUAAGCUGAGGGAGCAACAGCCAUGCUUUUGUCAGUAUAUGAAGAAUCCAAGCUUGGGAGGUUACGUGAAAUCUGCUCGAGCAAAAGCUAUUAUUUCCUCCUGUGGUGUUCCCUAUCCCAAAUGCUAGAGGUCAUGCUUUGUAAUGGACUUUUCUUAUAUAUAUAUAUAUAUAUAGCCUAUACUACAAUAUCAAACGACUAUGAAUAAAAAGGAAAGUGAUCUGGUAUUUUCUUUGUUCUAUAUGCUUCAAUUUUUAUCAUUAUACAAAUAUGUAAUGGCAUUACUAUAAAAGAAUGUGAAAUAUAUCUAGAGAAGUAAAAGACGUAGAAUUAACUUUUUCAUUUGGAUCGUAUAUAGUGCAGCCCAAUCAACUCUUGAAUAAAAACUGACAUGAUUAUUUGUAUUAAUUAAUGGACUAAAUUAAUUAAUAACACAACCCAAGCAUAAUGCAAUAGCCAUAAAAUACACAAACCAAUAGAGAAUACGAACACAAGGAUAUAUAGUUGGUUCGACUAAUUUGGUCUACGUCCACAUUAAGAACAAGUUUUGAGAAAUUUUAUUAAGAGUAUUCGAGUUACAAAUUCACUACAAAAAAAUGAGGGGUCUUCCAACGCACACAAUCGUUGGGAGAUAUACGAAAAAAGAGUUGAAAAAGGAUCUCCCAUAAAAAUGUCUGUCAAAACUGUGCUCGGAUAAAAUGCAUCAAAAGAAGCCUUUACAACACUAAGAUAUGCAGCGUCGGGAAGAUACUGUAUACGAUGUUGGGAGUUCGCCAUCUUUAGUCGUCGGGAGAUCUUAUAUACAAGUCUCGACGCUUACAUAUGGCAUCGCGGGUUUGAUUUUUUUUUUAAAAAAAUACCUUAUAUUAUUUAUUUCAUUUUAUUUUUUGUAACCUCAAAUUUUGAACCCAUUUAUAUAUAUAUGAACAUUUUGACGAACGUACAUAUUUCUAUUAAAGAACAACUGCUUAGUUACUAUUAAAUAACUUCUUAAUUACAUCAAUAAUAUAUAUAUAUAAUAAAGGAAGAUUCAACAUUAUCACAUGAUUAGGAAAUGCAUGAGCAGGCAGAUCCGUUUAGGUUUAGGAAAUAUAUCCGUCAAUGGAGUUACGAGAAUGAGUGAAAAGUAAUUUUGGCAUCCCUUGAAAACGGGAACAUCGUGCUAGCCAUGCGUGAAAUUAUGUAGAAUAGAUAAGUCGAUAUAACACAUUUGUGGGAAAGAAUAGAAAAAAUAUGUAUAAUAUAGGUAUAGGAAAGUUUCAAUUCAAAUGUGUAAACAAGACAUUGCGUUCAAUUGAUUUGAGAUUUUCAAUACCAUAGGCCAAAUCCAACAAAAUACAAGCGUUUAACUUAUCAAAGAAAAACCUCUCAGAAACACCUUUUUGUCUAUACGAAGGUAAGAGAACUAUAUGCAGCAAUUAAAAGUAAAACCUAAUAAAUCUAAGAGGAAUAAAGAAUUGAUCAUUACAGAGAAUGUUGAAUGAUUAUAAUAGUAGGAGAGUUUGAACCCUUUUAGACAAAGAAAUACUUGCCCUUAUACAAAAUGAGGGAGGAGAAGUGAAAGGCAACCCUUGACCCCCAAAUAAGGGCUAAAGUGAUUGUGAUUAUAAACAGAGAACCCCCUUUCCCAACAUAGCAUAAGAAUGUAUCAUGUUGGGAAUGCACAAAAUCUGGUACAUGCAUUGUUCAACAGAAAACUUGGACAAUCUUCUAAGUUUUAGAUCCAGCCACAUAAGUUAAAAGUAGUUCGGACGGCCGUAUAGUUGUCCACAUAAAAUAUCUCCGUCUUUAUACGUAUAGUUGAAAAUUUUGAUGAUGACAACAAGAAAGAAAAGAGAAAAAAGAAAGUCAAAUAGAACAGAUUCAAUGUUGGUGGAAUUUUUAGCCUCUGCUUCAAAAUUCUAUUUUUUCUCUAAAUUUAAACAACUUUGGGCCAUUUGACAAAGUGAGUGAGAUCCCUCUUGGACGGCAAUGCUCCACUGAUUCCAAACUGUUUGGGACGCUUCUAAAGUAGUGGGUUUUACCACCUUUUGCUGCAAAGAAUCCAAAGCGGUGUUAAACCAAAGCAAUAAAGAAUUGAAACAAUAAAUUUCACAUAAGAAUAUGUUGGAAAACGAACUAGGGGUAGACGUAGUGGAAUUCUCCGUUGCGCGUAGCUGCUGUUGAAGAUUCGAAUCAAUCUGCCUUCGUCUACAUCUGUUGUCCGUUUACGAGUUGCAAGCCAACCCACACGCAUAUCUAUUUUGCACAAUCUCUUUUGUGUUGGUUUCGAAAGCCGUUGUUUCUACCUUGUUGUGGUUUGUGGUAAGGGUGUAGUUUUGGGUUUUGGUGAUUGUUUUCAAUAACCAAUAUUGGUUGGGUUAGUAAAUUGAUUGAUAUUGUUUCUUCAAGGUGCAAAUUGUGGACAACACUUAAAUUCCUUGAGUUUCAAAUGAGUGGGGUUGGACUCCAAUUCUCCACGUUUUGGGUAAGUUGUGGAAAUUAUAUAUAUAGGAUGAAUUGAAUAGAUGAAAUUGUUUCUGGAAGUCAUUGAUUUCUGUUUACUUAUGUUUAGGUUGUUUUUGUUGAACUUUAGUGGAAUAAAUGAAGUUAAGGUAAGGGUUCCUACUACUGGACUCAAUGAUGAAAUUAAGAUGUAUUGACUAUAUGGAUUCCACUGAACUUAGAUGGACUAACUGAUAAGCAAAUUUAUAUUUGAUGACUGUUUAUUAUAUGAAUUUUAUUGAACUGAGAUGAGUUGACCGAUAUGUAAAAUUUAGUUUGAUGACUGAACUGAGGAUAUCGAAUUGAUUAGAUUGUGGGUUGUUGACGGUUAUGUUAAGGCAUAGGUAGUGUAAUGUAGGUUGAAUUGACAAACUAGAUUGAAUUGACUGAACUGAGGUGAGUGACGCUUAUGUAUAAAUUUAAUUAUUUGAGGGACUGUUCUGAUGAUGUUUGAUUAUGUAUUGGUUUGGGUAAAUUAAUUGUAUAUGUGUUGAGCUGAAAGAAGGAUAUAAUGGUAGUUUAUAUUCUAAGUUGAGUUGACUGUUUUAAAUGUUAGUAUGGACUGAGGGGAAACUGUUAGCUUUAUCUGUAGGGUAGUGUGUCUUGCAGGUGCCCCACGGGAUCACCACCUGUUGUACAUCCUUUUGAACACUAGACUGAUAGGUGCAUCCUUCGGGAGCACUAGACUGAUAUGUGCAUCUUUUAUGAGCAUUAGAUUAAUUAUGUGCAUCCUACGGGAUCACAAGACUGUUAUGAUACAUGGUACCUUCCAAUAGAAAGUUAAUAAUUUUACCCUAGUGGGACCAGUAGUGUGUCUCUUGCUGGGUAUGUUUAUACUCACCCUUUUAUGUUUAACUUUUCAGGCAAAAGUAAUAUAAGAGACCGACCAACGAGGAAUAAGAAGGAGACGUGAUCGCCAUAGGAGGAUUUUCUUUAAAAUAGCUUCCGCUUACAGUUUUCUUUUGUUUUACUUUAGUAGUUGUGACUGAAACGAAUUUCAUGUUUAGCACAACAAUUUAUUUCUUGAUUUUAUAAACAAUAAUUUCGAACCUUUAAUUUUGUUUGAAAUAGGGCCUGAAUAAAGAUUUAUUUGAUGUUUAUUGAUUUUAACAUAUUUUAUAAACACUCAUGUUUAAAAGAAGUGCAUUUGUAUUAAAGUAACUACCUCAGUUUAGUUUGAAAAGUUUGGAUCGUUACACCUAGCCAUCCACCCAAUCUUACUCCUAAAAUGGGAGGCUUAUUGUGUCAGUGUCGUUGAGCUACCUUCACCUAUGCAGAUCUAAGGAUAAUUUCGUGUGAACAAAAGUUCAUAGUUAACUUAGGAUUAAGAUUAAGUUACAUGGGUCAUCAAUAAACAAAAUAGUCAGUUUUAUACAAUCAAUGGUGUUAUAACUUAAAAGUGAUUAUUUUAUGAUUUCAGUCUUAUGUAAACUUUGUACAUAGGAUACUCCAACUUCCAUGGUCUCUACAUGAACGAUUCAGGAUCAUAUCGUUUGUACUAACUACAACAAGAAUAAGGCUUAUUCAUACACUAUAGACCAUUUGGGCUAUAUACUUGAACUUGAUCCACAUUUAUGUAAAUUCAAGUCUACACUAGGUAGCAUAAGGACCUUAGUUUAUUUAGAUUCAAGAUUAUAGUAUUCUAUUAAUAAAUCCUCAAUAACCACUUUAUUGAAUAAAAUAUACUUUUAAACUACAAACUACGAGUUUUAUGACAUAAAUUUCAACAGUUUUGUCAUUUAAUGACCCAUCCCAUCUGACUCCUUUCAUUAAAAUACCUUACUUUACUCACCAUGAUAUUUCAUUCUCUAUAAAUUGUGUUAGUCAAUUGAUGCACAAACCCACUGUUAUUCACUUCUCUGCAAUCAAAUGCAUCCUACGAUAUCUAUGUGGUACUCAACCCUUGGGAUAAAAUUUUGCAUGGGUUCAUUAAUUAUAUCUAUAAACCUUUUAUGACUCUGAUUGUGCUAGCGACACUUCUGAUCGACAUUCCACCUAUGGAUUCAUUGUCUUUCUUGGUUAUAAUCAUAUCUAUUGGUCUUUUAGAAAGCAACCUACAGUCUAACGUUCUUCCACAUAAGCAAAAAAUUGCUCACUCGCCACUACCACUGCAGAUCUUUACUGGAACCGACAAGUUCUAUGUGAUCUUCAUGUUCCACUUUAAAUCUUCAACAACCUUAUGGUGUGAUAAUGUUUUAGCUAUAUCUCAGGUUCAUAAUCUCGUGUUUCAUGCUCGCACUGAACACAUUGAGAUUGAUUACCACUUUUUUCAAACUUUCAUUUGUUACAUCUCUUCCAACGAUCAACUUGUUGAUCUACAAACAAAGUCACUCUCAUCUACAACACUUCUACAACUCCGAGACAAACUAUUGACUCAUUUUGAGUCAUCAAUCUGAGGGAGGAUAUUAGAGGAUAUUUUCCAAAAUCACAAUCCUCUUCAUAAUCUACUCCUCAAUUUCUGCCCUUUAUUUUUGCCCAAAUUGUAUAUUUGAUUAUAUCCCAAUCUUUUCAUAUUUAAUAUUAUCUUGUAUUGCAUAUUUAUACCAAACCAUUGUAAAAAGAAAUAAAAACAAGCAAAAUAUAUUCGUCUCUAAUUCCUUUUAUGAUUUAGGAUAAUUCAAAAAAAUGUUAAAAUAAUUGUGGUAAUUUUUGUGCUCUAGAAUAGAUCAAACGUGUAGAGCAACCCAACAUUUAAAUCAAUGCCAACAAUAUUUGUUAAUUGUUAUCAUCACAAUAUUAACUUUAUGGAAAAGGAUGUUGGAAGCAAUUAAAAUCAAAGAGAAAAGUAGGUGAAAUUGGAAAUGAGAAAUUAAUAAUAGGGUUGGCCCUUUUAUCAACUCUUCCAACUUUAUGUGGCUAUAAAUACAAACAAAAAAGAGUUGGGGGGAAAAACAGACAAUUAAAGCCAUAUUAUUCCUCUUUCUCCUUUUCCUUUUCCCUUUCCCUUCAACAAACAUUACUGAUUUCUAUCAAAACCAAGAGACAAUGAACAAAGUUCUUCCAGUCACAGUUGUUUGUCUUUUCGUGCUGGCCGUUCUUGGCGGAGUUCGUGUUGCAGAGGCGGUGAGUUGCAGACCUUCGGAGCUGAGCUCAUGUGCCAGGGCAAUCACGUCGAUGGCAGACCCAUCCGCCACUUGCUGCAGCAAAUUGAGAGAGCAGCAACAAUGUCUUUGCGGGUACAUAAAGAACCCAGCUUUGAGUCCUUAUGUGAAUUCUCCUGGCGCCAAACAUGUUGCUUCCAAAUGUGGUGUUCCCACUCCAAGGUGUUAGAGGGUCUUUCUUUUGGGCCAUAUGUGUGGAAAUUAAGCUGGAAUAAUUUUAUAGUUAUUCCUAUGAAUAAAACAAUAAAAGAAAGUUAUUAAAGUAGGUUCAUGUUGAUCAUAUAUCUCUUUUCUUUUUUCUUUUAAUGAAUUAAAAUAAUAGGUAUGGUAUGUUUCUAUAAAGAUAUUUUUAGAUUGGUGUUUUCUUUGUUAAAUGUUUCACCUUUUUUCUCUUUUUUAGGUUGCUGUAAAGUAAAAUUGAACAAUAUCUUGGUGAUGAUUAGGUUGCAAAUAUCUUUAUGUCUCCAACUUACAUAGUUUUUCAACCAAAAAAAAAAAAAUUGUUAGGGGAAGAUUUUUGCUUUUUAUUAAAACUUACUAGAUUUUUUCAUGCUGUCUUUUAUAAAAAGAAAAAUUGCAAAAAUAUUUCAAAAUAAGUUUGACAACACUAUUUUUUUUGCAUACUUCGAAUAUGACGUAUUAUGACAAAGUUAAUGAUAUCAGACUACUAUUAAACGAUAAUCAUCCGUAAUCUAGAGUUGUUGCAAGAGUUGUUGUAGGACUAACAGACAGUAAUUGUAUGAGACUAUGAGGCAGUUAUCCCUCAAAUUUUAUAAAUUUAAAAAAUCUUAUGACAUGAUUUCUAUUAUCAUACAUUUUUGCUAUUUUUACAAAAGCUCCUUCUAAACAUAUACAAAAAUAAGUAUUUUUACAAAAGCUCCUUCUAAACAUAUACAAAAAUAAGUAAGUCUUCUCGUUGUUGAUUAAGAUAUGUAAAGAGUGGAUUUACUUUAGUUCUAUUAACCUGGUUUGUUAGUUUUGGUUAGUUUUUAUGAAUUAGUUUUGGUUAGUUUUUAUGAAUUUAAAUUUAAUCAAAGUAGAUUUUUAAAAAUUUGGAAAGUUAUAUUCAGUAAUUUUUUUCUAUAAAGUAUAAAUAGUUUGUCUUAAACCCUUAAAAUUUAAAUUAUAGAUGGUAUCAUAACCAUUAUAUCAAUUUGUUUUCAAAUAUACUAAAAUAAACAAAAAAAAAAAAACUUUUGUAUAGAUUACAUUAUACUAUUAUUAAUAGUAUAUCACUCGAUGUGAUAUUUUACUAAUAUUUUUCUAAAUACUUUAGUAUGGUGCCCUUCUUCGCAUCAAUUAAACGUUUCUAGAUAUCUUUAUAAUGUCUAUAAACAAAUCAAUUUAGAUAUUCUAUUACUUUGUUUAACAAAAUUCAUACAUGAACUCCUACUUAUUUAUUUGAUAAAUUUAACAUUUAAAUUCUAUUUCGAGAGUGGAAGAUUUAAAUACAUGGAUAAUUUAUUUAAUCUUAAUAAAGGAUAUAAAUUAUUUCUGUUAUUAUAAUUUAAGAUUAACAUAAACAAUUAUAUGUUUCAUGCAACUUUGAUCAAAAUUCAAAUCUUAAAAGUAGUGUCAAUUGAAAUUUUUACAGAAGCUAAAGAUUAAAUCAUAUAUAAUUAUUAAUUUAGAUUUAAAUAAAUAAAAUAUAUAAAAUGAAGAGGUAAAUUAAAAAUUUCCCCUUAUAUUUAUAUGUAUAGAUGAAUCAUGAAUUGAAAGGGAAGAAUUUGAAUUCAAAGUGUCUUAAUUGAGAGGAUUGGUUGUGGGGCUGUGAGUGACAAAUGUUAUAUGUUUUAGGACAGCUGGUUAAUUCAUAAAUAUAUAUAUAUACACCGAACAGUUUGCAUUUAAUUGAAUUAAAUGUUUGCAGUGAUUAUAACUAUUGUCCUGAAUAGUUUGAAAUGACGUGAAGCAUGUUGAAUAAUAUCAAAUUUAACAAAAUAUUUCUGACGUAUCGGGUGAUUUUAGAUAUUUACAAAAUUUUCAGAUUCUAUCAGUAUUAAACAUUGAUAGUGAGUAUUACGCUUCUAUAAGUGGUAUUGAUAGACAGUAAUAGAAAUAUAUAUGUGACUAUUAUUGAUGGAAUACAAAAGUUUGUUAUAUUUUAUAAAUAUUUUAAUUUAUUUUGCUAUUUUUAGAAAUGUUUCUACUCAUUUUCAUAAAUGUAAUAAAAAAAACCAAAAUAUUUACUGCUAACAAAAACAAAAAGUUCAUAAAGCUGGUAAAAUAUUUUCUUAAAUUCUAGAUUUGCUUUUGAUAUCGUGAACAAUUAAUCCAUUCUCUUUCUUUUCGAUUUAUUCAUUUUCUUUUCCAGAUUUCUACAACUUCUCUUUCAGAUUUUUUUUUCUUAUAUUUUUUCUUCAUCUUUAUUUUUUAUUUCUUUCUUCCAACUCAUCUUCUAGAAUAUCAAGAUUGUUUAGAUAUUACUUUCAUAUAUAUAAAAGAUCACUUAGUUAGGAUGAUCAACACAAUCGUUUAGAUAUGGAGUCCUUUUUCCAUGUUUAAAAAGAAUUACAUGAUCGUGUGAAUAUAAUCUAAACGAUCGCUUAUCUAAUCAACACAAUCGUUUAAAUUUGAAGCCAUUUUUCCAUCGUUUUGAAAAGAAUUACAUGACCGUGUGGAUAUGAUCUAAGUGAUCGCUUACCAUAGUCAACGCGACUGUUUAGCGUGGUCAACACGAUCGUUUAGAUUUGAAGCGUUUUUCUCAUCGUUAAAAAAACUACACUAUCCUGUUGAUACUAAUUACAUGAUUGUGUUGAUAUUACCUACACGAUUGUGUAUCAUUUCCAACAUGAUCGUGUAUCAUGAUCGUUUAGAACAAGAAUUACAUGCGUGCGUGUGACUGAUUAAUCAUAUAUUGACUAUGGUAUUUUUUGUAUUUUUCAUUGUAGGUCUAUGGAAUUUUUUCGUUUUCAAAUUUGAUCAAUACGAUAUAAAUAUAUUACAUUUUUGUUAUAUAUUUUAAAAAAUUCCAUAAUAAUAAAUAUUUUAUUUAAAAAAUUAUCUCCCAACAAUAAAGAAAAUUAAUUGCACAAUCCAAAUUUGUUUUUGUUUUGUUAUUUCUAAUUUUUUCAGUGUUUGAUAAAUUGUUACAAAAAAAAAAAAAAGUGUUGUAAAAAUAGUAAAAACAAUUAGGGUUUAUAUCACUCUAUUUUCUAAAUUACUAAAAUAGUAAAUUUAAAAACGGAUAGCUAUAGUCAUUUGAUAUAUGUAUCAUUUUGUCGUAUUUGCCAAGGAAGAGGUGCUUUAGCUAUUUUUUUUUCUAAUUGUUUUGUCAUCCAAUUUUCCAAAAUAAACAAAUAAUUUAAACUAUUUUCUCAUAAAAAUAAUUUAAUAGACUAUUAGAGAAUUGGACGGUUUUUUUCUUUUUUUUUGGUUAUAUUUGUAGAUUUCUUUUUUCUAUUCUUACAAAUGAGAGAAUUGUACGAUAGCAUUCAUGUCAUCAUAUUUUUGAAAUUAUUGGUAAGUAAUUUCUAUGGCCAAAAUUGACUAUAUUACAGAACUAAUAUAAAGAUAAUUAUAUAUAAAAAGAGAGUAAGAUAAGAAAAAUAUAUCAAGUAAUUUCAUAAUUUAGAAUAGAGACCAACUUGAAUUUGUGAAGUAAUUGAGUGAAGCAAAGAGAACGAAAAGCUUUCGUAAAGAUAUUAGCUGGUUGUUCUGUGGUGGAGAUGAAUUGAAGAUGAAGAGUUUUGCUUUUAUGAUGAUGGCGAAUAAAGUGUCAAUCAUUCUCAACGUGCUUUGCUCGUUCAUGAAAUACACUAUUGUGAGUAAUUUGAAUGACACUAAGAUUAUCUCAAUCAAAAAUAGUUUAGUUUAAUUUUAUUUAAUUAAAUUAAAACUAGGAUUUUUUUUUUUAAAAAAUAGUAGCUUUUACAAAAUAUUUACAACCUAUAGUAAAUUUUUACUGAUGAUCAUUGAUAUACUACGGUAAUAGAAUUCAAAAUUUUAUUAUAGUUUAUAAAUAUUUUAAUUUAUUUUACUAUUUUUAAAAAUGACUCUAAUAAAUAUGGAUUUUAAUUUAUUUAACUUCUAAUUAAAUUAAAUAAAUUUAUAAUUAAUUUUAUUAAAUCGUAUUUAAUCAAAAUUAAUUAAUCAUAUUAAUAACUUCCAUAUAAAUUAAUUAACAUGCACACUAUACAUUAUAGCCAUUAUAACAUAUUUUGAAUGCGUGGACAUGUCAACUUAUAAUGAGAUUUUAAAUCUAUAUGACAUACUUUAUACACAUACAAUUUAAACUUUAAUUAAACAUACAUCACUAAUUAAAAGAUAAUAAAAUAGUGUACACUCUGUUUUGAGUUUGAGUUGCAUGCUUGAUGCUAACUGUAAAGAGAAUUAGGCUUGAUAAUUUACAAGAAAAGAAUGCAGUGAAAAUAUCAUGAGCUAAAUAAUAUUUCGUGACAUGCUUCGCAUUACAACUUGAAAGUCUAUUUAUAGACUUCGAAUUUCAAACGCAAUUGAAGUAAAAAAAAGAAGAUAAAAUCAAAUCAGAUAGAACAUAACCUCUUAUUCGAUAAAAUUUUGAAGAAAAAAAGAUAAGAUCGAAUCAACUAGAUAAAAUGGUUCAGAGUAAGAUUUGGGUGGAUGGUAAAAUCCUAAAAUUUUAAAAUUAUUUAUAUAAAUUAGAAAGUAGUGGAUAAUUAUUGAAAUCAUAUUUUCGUACAAAACUAAAGUGUGGAAAUUUCCACCACCUAAUAAACUGCUUUAUUAAUAAUUUACUUUAAUAGUUUUAUAAUUAUUGUGCAUAGUUAGUAACUAACGUAUUUAUUAUUCACACAUAUUAAUUAUUAACAUUACUAUAUCUGCAUAAUAAAUGGAAAGAUUUAUAACAGGAAAUGAAUUUGUCGGCCAUUGAUCCAAGGAGAAAUUGAAGUUUUCUUUCUACUCUCCAAGAAUAUUUGUUGUCCUUUCAAGUUGUAAUUGUGUAUACUAUUAUUCGUAUUUGGUACCUUCAUUAUUGACUGACCAAUGGACUCCCUGCACUUCAACAUUGUCACUUACGAUCCCGACCAUCAAAUGUAGUUUAACACUUUACGAAAUAUACACAAUUUCAUUUUAGCUUUUAGACUUGAUCUUGAAUUGUACUUAUUGUCUUCAUUUUUUUCCUGAAUUUCUGGAUGACAGAACAAUAUUUAUUUUUUAUACUAGGGAUGCGAAAAUACAUUUUAUUUUUAUUAUUUUUUAUAAUAUAAUAAUUUGAAUAGAAAUCUUCUUUUAGAAGACUCUAUAUAUAAUCUAUUUUCCUUUUGAAACAUGUAUAUGGGUUCGGAGCUCACAUAGGUCGUGAGUCGAGAUACGGGUCAUCCAGAUCGUAUUAUGGAUCUGCUUGCUCUUCACUUCCUAUAUGGAGGAAGAGAUUGAUUUGAAGAUGAGGAAGCAUUUACUUGCUGUUAAUAGUAAUCUUUGGAAAUCUACAUCAGUCGUGGCUUGAGCAAGUUCUGCAAGAAGCUUUGGUUUAUCAUUUAAGAAUUCAGCAUUCUUUCUUUGAUCAAGGUCUUGUAAAUAGUUGUUCUUUACAAACCAUUCUUUCACGUGUGUUGACGGUGACAUGUUGAAAGUUUUAUUUUUCCCACCGUUGGAUCUUCAGAUUUUUUACUAACAUUUUGUAUUGAGGAUAUGAUGUUAUAUUGUAGCUCCAACAAAAUAUCCAUAGAAUUUGAAAAUAAAGGCAAAAUCUCAUCGAAUUAUGAAAUGAAUUCUUUUGAAAUGUUCUUGAAAAAUAAAAAUAUGAUUCUUGAAUUGGAGUUGGUAGAAUAUCGUUGGUAAUACCAAAGUUAUUCAACCAUUGAAUAAACCAUAAAGGAAAAUUAAUUUUGUAGGCGUUUUGACAAAAAGAAAGAACCACGAAUGGUUUCUAUUUGAAAAUUAAAAUACUCUAAACCAAGUUUUGAUGUAAUCUUGAAAGGAGUAAGAUUGAGGAACAAAACGCUUUGAAAAUGAUUUUUUUUGUAAAAUGUUUUUGAUUCUAAUGAGUUGAUCAAUUGAUUGCUUUGAAAUUUUUUAAUUUUGAAUAUGCAAUUUUUAAAGGAUCAGCUAAAAUAUACUCAUAGAAUUUUCUUGUUUUUUUGAGGUCUUUUGGAUCGAAGUUGAAGCCCUUGGGGGAAUAUUUUUUAAACUCUCUUAUAGAGUGAGACUUUGAUAUUCGAGUUCUAUGAUAGGACCAUAGACCACGAUCGAAUUUUAAAAAUAAGUUUUGAUCUUGGGUCUUGGCACGAACCGUUUAUCGAAAGUGACAGCAUGAGAAUAAGUUAGAGGAGGAGUGGAAGACUCCCUAUUGGAUGAAGGAGAGGUAGGAAGCCUCAUUGGAACAACUCCGCUAGAAGGACAGAUGAGAUUGGCCGAAGGCCUAGAUGGAGUUGAUGGCUCUAUGGGAGAUCCAGUCCGUAUGCCCGAUGAUCUUACUCUGGAUUAGGUUACUGUGGUAUUCCUUAUAUCCAUAGCAUAUUGAUCUGCACUCAUGUGUGAAGGUGCAUAAUUAGAAGAAGAAGAGAUGGGUGGUUGCCCUUUGAAGAGGUCGAGUUUACUCUUCAUCUUGCACUUUCCUUUUCCAAACUCAUUCUUCUUCUUCGAGUGCUUUUAAAAAGGAGAGAGUUUUGGAGUUAGAAACUCCUUUGAGAUGUAAUCAACUAGGGGUUUUUGUUAUCCUUUUAUAGGCACAACUUCAAAAUCAAAGCAAGACGGUUUGCCAUUUGGCAAAAAUUUGUUUUGAAACAAGAUUUUUCACAUUUUUUUCUAACACGAAUUUUGAAGCUCUUGAAUUUGUUUUGAUUAUGAAUUUUUUAUUGAUUAGUUCUCCUUGGAAUUUUUUAAGACACAAAGAACUACGACAAGUAAUUCCUUUUUUAUCGUUGAGUAAUUUUUUGUGUAUCAUUCCAAAUUUCUGAGUGGAGUCAGAUCAUUGAUUCGGUCUUAUCUAGACACUAUUUGAGGAUUCCUCCAUCUUCUAUAUUAGAGGCAUCAAUUUCAAUGAUAAGGUUUGCUUUUGAAUUAAUGAGAUUGAGACAAAUGAUUCAUUUGACUAAAGACUUAAUUUUUUGAACAAUUUGGGUGUGCUUAUCAGACCAUGGUUUUAAAUUUUUCUUUAACCUUUUGUACAACGGUUUGCAAAUGCGGUUGAGGUUCUUUAUGAAAUCAAGCACAUAAUCUAGGCAGUCCAAAAACCUUUGAAGAUGGGUUUUAUCUCGAAUUUGAUUAGUAAAAUUUAGAGAAAAUUGUGAGAAUUACAAAAUAAGAUAGUGCAGUUUGGAAAAAAGCAAAUUUAAAAAAUAAUUUGAAUUUUAGCAAAAUUGUAAAACAUAUAUACUUUUUGAGAAUCUUUCAACCGAUUUUAUCCCUUGAUAGAAUGAAUAUCAUUUUGUUAAUUACAAUAUAUUUGUGAACCGUAAAACAAUAAAACAUAACACAUAAUUACGAUUACGAUGUAUUUGGAUAUCAUUCAAUUUUAUAAUAAUAUUAAAUAAAUAUUUAUUUUAUCUAUUGAUCUCAUUUAACUAAAUUCUAGAUUCAUGCCUUAAAUUUAUAACAGAUUAUCAUAUUGCUUAAUUGUAGGUCUCGUUGGAUGAUUCAAAAAUUUGAAUUUAGAAUAAUAUCUUUUACCUAAAAUUAUGCAUUUUAUAUAAUAACAACUUCAUAUAAAUGGUGUAUCUUUCCUAUAAUUAUGUAUAUAGCAAUUAUUCCAUUUUCGGAUUGAUCGUAUUAAUAAUAAUCAAUUGUUAAGAAUUAUUUUAGGGAAUAAAUGGUAACAUAACAUCAAUGCAAUCUUGUUACGUAAUUAUCAUUAAAUUAGAAACAUUUUCUUUAUAUAUUAUUUACUACCAUUUAAAAAUUGAUUUUAAAUUCUUGUAAAUUCUCCUAAAAUCGUAUUAUUGGAUUGAUAUCCCUAAAAUAAUAGCAAAUAUAAAUUUAAUAUUUUUGAAUUAUUUAUAUUUCAAAACAUUUAUAAAAUUAUUGAAUUUAAAUACCUCCAAAAUACGUAUUGCUCGUAACAAAUUGAAUUAAAAAUUUUAUCUUCCCCUAAAGUCGUUCUAAUUCGUUUAUUUUUAUUUUUUAAAAAUUGUUUUAUUGUGCCAGUGGUAGGAAUAAUUAUUUUGAGACGUGUUUUUAAAUUACGUUAAUAUCUACGUUUAUUUUCAUCUAGUAAGAGUCUCAAAUGCAUCAUAAUUGUGAUCCACAAUCUUUAAAAUCUUAUAGUCAUCUAUUAUACAAACUUAUUCCAAUCAACAGAUUUUGGACACACAAAAAAAGAUAAAAAAUUUGGUCAUCAAGAUGUAGUUCAUUACCCAUCUUGAUUUCACAUAUUCCAAAUACAAUUUAUUUCAAUAGAUAAAAAAAACGAGACAUGAUAUUGAAGAUAGCACAAAAUCACUAUAUUUCGUAAAUAACAUUCAAAUUUGAUAAAUCUUAACUAAACAUGUUAUUUUGUACCAUUUAUUAAAUAAUACAUGAUAUAAUUUUAAUAACAAUUUGAAUUUAAAUUUUAGAUCCUUCCCUAAAAGUAUGUUAAAUAUAAAUAUAAUAAUUUCACUUUUUUUAAAUAUUUUUAGUCGAUUUUACUUGUAUAGAGGAAAAUUUUUAUCUGAUAGAUAUAGUCUACUACAUUAAAAUGAUGGGUAAUGAUGGAAUAUAACCCAAAAUCACGAAUACAUUGUAUUUACAAAUCAUUCAGUUGUGUAAAAAUAUUAAAUAAAUAUUUAUUUUCGAAAUUAAUUUGAUUGAAUCAACAUCCCUUAGAUUUAAGUCUACAAUUUAUUCCAGGUUUUCUUGUUUGUAGGUUUCAAAUCAAGUAAUUAACAAUUUAUUUAGUUGUGGUUGUUAAAAUUAAAAUUGUAUCUUACUCCUAUAAUUAUGAUGCAUUUAAUGUAUAUAUAUAUGAUUAUUUAUAAGAAAAUUUUGAUCUUCCCCUAUAAUCGUGGUAAUUGAUUGAUUUCCUAAAACAAUGUCAAACAUAAUUUCAAAAUUUUAGGAUUAUCUUGUUAAUAUCAUUUAUCUAUUUUCCAUAAUUGUUAUUUAAAAAUAGAUUUUAAAUUUUGAUUUGAAACCGUCAAAAUAUUAAAAUUGAUUUAAAAAUUUAUAAAAAUAGUUAUGAUUAAUAAUAAUUUGAAUUUAAAAUUUUGUUAUCCCAAAAUCAUGCUAAGAUUAUAUUUAUAUCUCCAAAAUAAUAGCAAACAUAAAUUUAACAUUUUCGAAUUAUUUAUAUUUCAAAACAUUUAUAAAAAUUUAAUAUUUUAUUUUUGGAAAGAAUUAAUUGAGAAGAAAAUAUUUGUUUUAUUUAAAUUGGAAAAGACAAAAAAGGAAAAGGAAGAUAUUUAAGGGGAAAUAAUAAUAUAAUAACAUUAUUAUUACUAUUCAUCAUCUUCUUCACUUUCACCAAACCCUAGCCGCCGCUGACACUUCUAUCUCCGUUCGAGUGUUCUUCGUCCAAUCGAGAUCUCCACCUUUGUAACCAUCUCCUCCAUUAUGUUGAUCAAGAACUAAGCUAUAAAGAAACAUCUCCUCCGCUACACGCCCAGUUGCGCCGGUUUUCUUCUUCUGCAUUCGUUCACCGAUUAUGCCAAAACUUUCAGCCACUGUCAGCCGUCGAAUUUUAGUGUCUUUGUUGUUGUUGGGGUUUUGUGACAUACAUUGUAUCUUUUCUAAAAAUCAAGCGGAUAUAUUGUUGUUGUAAUUUAAACGAGCGAAGAAGAAAAUCCGUUGAAGAAGCUUACCUUUGCGUGAAACAAAAAAGAAUCUAUAAUCGGUUUGAUGAAAAAGAUGGUUGACAAGAAGAAAAUUCUUUGAUUUGCACUGAAUGUAUGAAAACUUUGAAGGUUUCGAGAAGAACGAAGUUUAAAGCUCCAAUCUUUUCAGCAAAUGAAUCGAAGACUUUGAAGAUUUAGUGGAAUCUACGAAAGUGGAAGGUAGUGAAGCUGGAUUCUUUUCGGCUUUUAAUACCUAAACAUGCACAAUUUCAACAAGGAUGUGUUAUUUAAUUACAAGGUAUUUGGGGUUUAGAUGAACAAUUGUAUUUAGAACUGAUUUUGAAUUGGGUAGGGGCAUUUGAGACAUUGUUUCAUUUAUUUAUUUACAGAUUUUUGAGUUUUACCAUUCUAACAAUUUAAAAUUAAAUUUGCUAUUUUCUCAAAAUAAACCUCAUAAAUUGUCAUUGUUCUUGUCAGCCCUAAAAUUUAAAGCAAACUCAAUUGAUCUCUGAAUCGGCUUAAAUUCUCCUACAUGUAUUUCAAAGCCCAAAUAACUUAUUUUUGUUUCAAAUUAAUUUUACUUUUGGUAGAGAGACUACCAAACCAUUUGUUUUUAUAAUAUCUAUAAAAAUAUUGAUAUGCUUAAAAUGCUUUUUUAUAUUUGGAGAAAAGACCAAAACAUUAUUAAUAUAAACAAUUGUAAAAUCUUGAAAAUCAUUAAAAAUAUCAUUCAUGAUUUUUUGAAAUUCUAAUGGUGCAUUUUUUAGCCCAAAACGCAUUAAAUUCUAUUCAUAAUGUCUUAACGGAACAUUAAAAGCAGUUUUGUAUUUAUCUUUUUCGAAACUUUGAAUUUGCCAAAAUUUGAAUUUUAUGUCAAAUUUUAAAAAUAUUUUUGCAUUUGCAAUUCUUUUUAAUAAAUAUUGUUUGUCGGGAAUUAGAUAUUUAAUUCAUUCCAAGACUUUGUUUAAAGGUUUAUAGUUGGUUACUAACCUUGGAACUCCAUGCUCUUUUUCGACGACGUUAUUGACAUAAAAGUCGACACACGACCAUAGACUUUUAUAGUAUCUUAUUAGAUUUUUAUCUAAAAGUUUUGUAUUUCUUUUCUACAAUGUGUUAGCAAGUAUGAAUUUAUUUGAAUCGAUCUAGUCUUUGUUGGGAUAUCCGAUUCUUUGAAUUCUUUAGAAUAUGGAAGAUCAACUAUGUGUUUUUUCCUAUCCCACAAUGCAUGUGGUGAACUAGAACAAAUUUCUUUUCAAUUUUAAAUUGAAUGAGAAAUUGCAUCAGAUGACAAAAACAUUUAAAAAAAAAACAGCAUACGACACCUACUUUUUGCAUAUUGCGAAUAUGACAAAAUUAGUGAUAUUAGACAACUAUAAGAUGACUAUCGGAGCGCUAUCAGAGGGUAAUCGACUUUUAAAUUUGCUACUUUUGCAUUUUAGAAAAUGUAGUAACAUAUGUCUAUUAUCUUAUAUAUAUAUAUAUAUAUUUGCUAUUUUUGCAAGUGUCCAUUUCUUUUAUCCUAUUUUAAAUUGAAAAUUCUUUUAAACUUUUUUCAAUUCUUUUGUAAUCGAAUUUCUUAUUUUCGAAAACUAGUUUGUUUUAUUUUCUUUUCAUUUGUUCACUUUUCAAAACAAUAAUUUUUAAAAGUUGAUGAGGUAAAAUUGGAGAGAUAAAUUCAAAAAUCAUUUCUUCUCCAAAUUUAUUUGUUAAAGGUGUCCGAAGAAUUAAUUCUUAGCGAAGAUGUUUGACUAAAAGAAAAUAUAUUUUGAAACAAAAUUUUUUAUUACAAACAUAUACUUUUGAAAGUUUAAAUUUGAUAUUUAAUUAAUCAUUUGGGGUGCGUUUGCAAAAAUAGCAAAAAAAAUUUAUGGUAAUAGAACUAAUGACACUACAUUUUCUAAAUUGCAAAAAUAGUAAAUUUAAAUCGGAUAGCCCUCCAAUAGCCCUGAUAACCGUCUUAUCUGAUAUAUCUAAUUACUUGUCAUAUUUGUCAUAUUUGCAAUAUGCAAAAAAAAAAUGUAUUAUGGACUGCUUAUUUCUAUUUUUUUUUUGUCAUAUGAUGCAAUUUUUCUAUUUUUUUUUAUGUUUGCUCUAAUAAAAACCUAUGUGAUUUUUUCAAAAUAUUUUGUAGAAAUUAAACAUUCUUGAAUACAAUUUUGAUUUGCACCUGAGUCUAUCAAUGCUUUCAAAGUAAUUUUAAAAUUUUAUAUUUUUAAAAUAAUUAAAAAAUACUAUUUUUGAAAACUUAUUCUUGAAAUUAAAUUAAUUUUAGCAUUUAGAUUACUUAAAAAAUCUUUUCCUUAGGUCUAAAUCAUCUAAAUUAUCAUUUUGCUUUAUUUGAGAAAUUUCUUUUUUAAUUUAUAAAAUUUCAUAUUUAUUUUGAGAAAUUUUUCUUUCUAGACAAUUGAUUUCAAAAUUCAAUAGAAAUUGGUGUUUAUAUUUUUGGAGUUUGUAAAACUUUUUAAAGACUUUUUUCAAAAAUCAUUUUCUUCUUUAGAGAUGGUUUCCAAAAUAUUUCUUUUUAAAUCUUCAUUUGAAACAUGGUUAAUUGUUUGAAAUAAUAAAUUAUGUUUGAAAGUUAAAACAUUUAUUUAAAUUAAAAUAUAUUUAUAUGGUUCUUGACUUGAAAUUUUUGAAUUGGUUUGAUCUGUAAUUUCCUACAAUUGAAAGUUAGAAAUAUAAGAUAAAUCUUAAUAAUAUUUUUCUUCAUUUUUUUUUCAUGAAUCUCUCUUUGUGGACACUUAUUGGCAUAAUGUCCUUCUUUUCUUUAUUUCUAACAAAAAAAAAAAAAAAAACAAAUUGUUUGAUUUUCCUCUUUUUUGAACUUUUUUGGGUUGAUUUUCUGCAGGUUUUUUGUAAUUUGAAUAUUUGUGAUAUUUCUUUUGGGGGUAAGACUUGUUAUACCUUGGGAAUUUUCCAUAAUAUGUGAGUUUCAUAUUAUAGUUUUUUGGUCGAAUUUUUCUUGAAGAAGAAGCUGGUUCUUUGACCUUCUCAAAUUCGAGAACAAAAUGUCUUUAUUUAUUUUUUAUGAAGAUUUGAAUGUUUGUGUACUUUGGUUUGAAUUUUUAUCUCAUCGUAUAUAUCUAAACCACAUUCUAUGAUUCUAGAAGUUAGUUGGACAUAGGUAAGAGUUUCCCAAGGUAUUUCCUUAGGAUAUGCUUUGUUGAGGGAGUUUUAGACUCUUUCUGCCAUGAAGCUUGAAAGUCUAUCAAUGGACAUUUCUUUCAAGUGUCUGACAUUACAAUCCUUAAAAAUAUAUAAAUUUUAAAUAAGAACAUGUUUUUGUACCAUCUAAAUUUUUUCAAAGAGGAACAGUGUCCUCUCACUCUUCUUUUAUUUCUUGAGUUACUAAAGCUCCAUCUUUAGUCUUAAUUGUCCUUUUGAUUCUUGUCCUAUGAUUUUUAAUUGCUACUUUUUGUUUAUUGAUUAGGGCAUGAUCCCACCAUAGUUUGAAAGUUCCACUAAAUCCAUUGAUUAGAAGCAUAGGAGCCUCUCCAUUUGUAUGAGCAUUGGAUUCAUAGGUUAUGGAACAAGUUAACAUGUUAUUCAAUGUGUCAUAAAUUUGAUACUCUAGAGUUCCAUCAAUAUUCCAAAGAUAUAUGGAUUCUCCAUUGAAUUCUGUAUUUAUGACAUACAUUUGUCUUGCUCUAGUUCUUCUCCGGGAAAUGAAGGUCAAGGAUGAAAAUUUAUUUUAUCUUUCCUAUUAACAAAUCUUCCAAAAUUUAUCUUGUUGAUUUGUUUUUCUUCUUCGUUGAAUGAAAGAUUUUCAAAAUCUUCCAUGAAAACUUUCGCCCCUUAGGUUGUUUAGGUUUUUAUUAAUAUCAUCCGGAAGGUUUUGUUUAUGAGUUUUUAUCUUAACAUUAUCUAAAGGUUGGAAAAGGUUAGAAGUUUCUUCGAGAGUAGAAGAAUUGAAAUUUUCUUCUAACUUGAAGACGUGACUACGAUUGAAGAAAUCAUUAUGUUAGAAUAAUUAUUUUAAACUUGGAUACUCUUUAUUUCUUUAUUUGUAGGAGUCUUGUGUUCAAAUUCAUUGAUAAUUUGAAAAGGAUUUGCUAUAACAUUCUUAUUAGAAAAACUUUUGAACUCAACAUCUUCCAUCGGAGGGAAAUCAUCUUUGAUUUCUCCUCUUUGAGUUUUCCAAUAUUCAUUUUCUUUUAUUCUACAAAGAUGGUCAAAAUCUUUUCUUUGGUUGAACCAUUUAAAAAAUGUAAUAUGUUCUUGAAGUAUUUCAAAAGCCUUGAAACUUCUCUAAACAACUUCUGUUCUGUUUCAAAGUAAGUUUCGGAAAAGGAAAUUCUUUCAAUAAAAUUUGCUUUAGACAUAAAUUCCUUUUGUAAGGAUUCUUUGUCAAGCUCAAAUUUUGAUUCUAAAAUAAUUACAUUUACUUGAGAACUAGUAUCCAUUUCUGUUUGAGUUAGAGAACCAGGGAGAUUUUCUUCAUAAAUGUUAUUUGGUAUUCUUGAUCUAAUCUAACAUAUUAAUUUUACUUUCGAGAACUUGAUCUGUUUGAUUAGAUAUUGGUUCACUCUUAAUACUACAUGUACUGGGCCUUGAACUCAUAUUUUCUUUAACAACAAGGAAGCUAGGUGAUUCGUUUUCAAACUUAAUUUCUACUUUCCCAUCAAGAUGUUCAAACACGCCACCAAGGAGCCUCCAGAUCGUUAACCCUACCGUUUCUUCGUCAACAACCUGAUCUAAAACGAAAGAGAGAAGGAAAACAAAAGAGAGAGAGAGGGAGUUUAACAAUGUUGGAAAAAGGAGAGAGGGAGAGUUGAAUAGUACAAGAGGAGGAGUUGAACAGUAUGAAAGAGAAGUUAGAUAACCCUAAUCACCAAUUGUGUUCAUCUGUGAACCAAACGUGGAGUGCACUCUACCUUACUCUAAUAUCAUCCACUCCAAACAUGCCCUUAAAGUUUGGGAUAGAAAAAAGUUCGGAAAGUUGUGUAUAAACCUAAUUUUGUUUAAUUACGAUCAUCGGAGUUUUAAUUUGUAAAGUUGAUUAGUUUGAGGUUAGAUGGAGACAAAUGAAAUUAUUAGUUUAUUACCCAUUGUAGAAAAAUGAGAAGUAUUUGUGUUUGUAAAAUGGGAUUUAAGUUAAGGGUAGAGUCCGUUAUGGCAAAUUUGUAAUUAUUUACAUCUUCUUCCUUAGGUUCUUAAAAUUAGACAAAACAAAAGGGAAGAAAAAUGUGAGGCAGCCGACAGUCACAAAAGAGAGGGAAAAAACUGAGAGAGUGAAGCAGUGGCGACUUUGAGGCAGUGGUGUUUUGGUUUUAGUUCAACGUCGGGGUCCGUUGGAGUCGUAUUUCGCCAGAUUUGGGUCUUUGUCUAAGUGGUUUCGGCGUGGGUCUCUCAUAUGCUCUUGGAGUUUGGUGGACAGUAUAGUCGUUUUGUCGUGGUUGAUUACAAAUUGCUUGUUGUGUUGAACUCUAUAAUUGUAUCCUAUUUUGCUCUUAAUAAAAUCUCUCCAAGCUGGUUCUCAAAAUGAAUGUAGAUCGAAUUGGUGGUUUAUUCUUUUAUCGCCUUGUGUGUAUUCUGAAUUGUGAUUUCUAUUUUAGACCGUCGUCUAUUUAGCGCGGAAAGUAUGAGACCCAUAAUAAAGUUGGAAAAGAAUGGAGUGAUGAAAAGUCUGGUAGUCACAAAUUUGAAUAAAAUGAGGGAAGUUGCAUCAAAGUGGCCCAGUGUGUAUCUCCACCCACCGCUCCCAUCAGCCUCAAAAGUCAAAAGAAUUCCAAAAGUUGUGAGACCCAUUAGUGUCCCCAUUUGAUGAAUAAAUAUCUACAUUCUCACUUACCUCCAAAUUGUCCAAAUCAAAGUUCUUAUAAAAAGAAAUGCAGCUUCUGAGAAACAACCUAUGAAUUUUAUUCAUUAAAUCCCUGAUGAUUUUCGAUUUCUUCUUUCUAGAAAGGUUUAAUUUUCAAAGCUACAUUUCUCUACCUCUCUUACUCGUUGAAUUUAAACUUAAAUAAAUUUCUCAAAUUAGCAAUCAAAUUAUAAAGCUAAUUAAAAGUUGAAUAUAUAAAUGGAUAAAUUCAAAAAAUGGCACGUGUUUUUUUGUCUUUCAUUUUAAUCUUUGUAAAAUUUUUAAACGAAAAGUAUAAUUUAAAAAUAUUAUUAAUUAUAUUACCUCUCAUCAAUUAAGCACCGAAGUUCUUUAAGCAUAAAAUUAUUGAAUUUUGACUGUUAAUUUUAGUUUAUAUUAAUUGAAUGCAGAAUAUUUUCAAUUAAUGUUCUCCUUCAUUUUAGAAGGCUUUGUUAUUUUCUUCUAUAUUUCUAGCUAUCAAGUAUAGUCUUUUCAACAUUGUUUUAGCAUGAACAUUCUCAUAAUAGGUGACAGGUGCACUAGGGUUAGCAUGUACAUAUUAAAUUGUUGUAUUGUUGUCCAUUUUUUUAUUUUGCCAAAUAGUUAAAAAACGACAUUUUGGAUCCGUGUAGAUAAAUAUUUUUUAUUACACCAACAAAUAAAUAAAAUUAAUAUUCUUUUAUAAACUAUAAUAUUUUUCUUUUACAUAUGUAUAUAUACAAAAUGAAAUCGUGAAACAACAGUACAGGAAACAAGAUCCUAAUACAAGACUUAAAUAAGAAAUUUUAAAUGCCUCUACAGUCUUCAACCUUCAACGAUCGCUUGACUAUCUAUACAAUCGUUUCGCUUUCAACCCAAUAUGACUUCAAUCAUUUUACAAACAAUAUCUAAAUCAACCAUUUAAUCUUUAGAAUUCUAACGGUGCAUCUUUGAGAAAAAUGGCUCUAAAAACUAUCAUAUAAUUUGAGUAAAAAAUAAAAAUGUUUGAAACUAAAUCGAUUAGUCAAGUAUAUGUAACAAAAGGUUGCAAGUAUUGGUAAAAUUAAAUGUAAAAUUAAAACAAAACAAAUUGACACAUUGUAUGGAAUAAGCAUAUUGAUGAUGAUAAAAUUAAGUACUGGGAAUUCUAGAGUGUUGAAACGAGGAAAUAAACGUAUACUUAGAGAUGGAACUUGGAGGAGGGAGUUGGACAUGGAACUUUGUUUCUUAUCAAUAAAAACAUGCUUUGAUAAAAACGUUUCUAAACUCAUGUUUUACAAUGCUUUUAACACUUUUUAUAAACAUGUUGUUAAAUAGAAAUAAGGCUCACUUUAAAUAAUAACUUGUAAAACAUAUUAAAAUUGUUAUUUAGAAAUCAUUUUACAAAUAAUCUUAGUAAAUUCAUUUUUCACUCAUAGACUGCAUAUCAAACCCUUGAUCGAUAAGCUUAGCCGAUUUCUUCUUGUUCUGAAAGAAUGGAAAACAACUUCAAUUAAUUCUCUUUUAUUUUAAAAUUUUCAAAACAUUACUUAGAGUUUCCCAAAUCAUCAUAAACAGCCCCAAAAUGCCUCAAAAAACCUCUCUGAAUCCAAAACGCAUGCCCAACAUGUCAUGCUAAUUUCUUAGUCUAAAACCUCAUUCUCUGCUAGAACUCUACUUCUUAUUUAGAGCUUAAUAGCUUAAAAUCCAGAAAUCAAAUAAAAAUACUUUCUUCUACAAAUGGGUUGCAAAACAUCUUAUUAUUCUUACCUUAAAAGUUUAGCUUCAGAUUCCAACAGAUGAACUCUACAACCCUUUGUAAGUCCACGUUAUUCAGAAUCACCCAUAGUCUAACCUUUCUUGCUUUCCAUAGCUAAAACUCAGCCCUCCCUUACUCAAUUUAAACGAGCAGCCCUAGCUUAGAAAUUAGACUCAAAAUGGAAACUUUUAGGAGUAAUUUCAUUCACAAAUGCAAGAGUGUAUUAUGAGAAAAAUGAAUCUAAAGAAACCUAAUUAUAGAGUCCAUUGCAUGAAUUUACAUUGACACCUCAUCCUUGCUUAAAUCUACCUUAAAUCAUAUUAAGACACCUCCUACUCACUUUUACACCUCAAAACACGCGCUAACAAGACUUUGACACUUCACUUAAUUUUUAAACUAAUUGUCUUAACCAUGUCACAUAGUUGUCUAAAACGCAUAGCUAACUUCCAAGGUCAUCUCGCCUACUUUCUCGUUCAGACUACAUAACGCGAAUUUAAAAAGUUAUAACUUAAAAUUUAUAACUUUUUUUAUCCUUCUACAAAGGUUCUCCAAAAUGAGUUAAAUUUCUGACAACAAAAUGUCAGAGCAAAACGCCAAAUUAUGCGUUCUAUAACCUUCUGGGAGUACAUCUUACUCAGAUUUACUCAUGAACUUACCUUCUUGCCUUCUCUUAUCCAAAAUGCCAACUUUUUCAUAUCUAAAAUGUCCAGCAGCCUUGCUCGAUAAAAUAAACUCAAUUUCUAAACUUUUAAAACUAAUUUGAAUGCAAAUGCCCAAGUGAGUUGCUAAUCACUAACAGUACUUAAAUGUAGAUUCCAUUGAAUGUAUGCAGCAAACAAAUGACAACUUAGGUUCUUACAGAUAGUGUGACAAAAUUGUCAUCAUUUUUCUACGAUUAGUAGCUAUUCUUUCCCCCACUUGUAAUGGAUUUAAAAGGAAUUAUUGGAAGAGAGCAAGGAGAGGUGCACUCCUAUGCCCUUUUUGGGCUUUCACUUGUUUCGUUCGCUUGUACUUUCUUCUAUUUUUGCCCUUUUAUUAUUUUAUAUUUUUCCUCAAAUGUGUUUGUCAAUCUUUGAAUUCAAUAUUAUUGCAUGCUUCUGGUUUUUUUCUAGUUUUUAAGUAGCAUAUAAGAUUUUGUCAAUGUUUGGGUAUAAUAGUCUAGUUUUUUAUAGUGAUUUCUUUCCCUCAAUGUUUGAAUUCAAAUGUGCCUUGUGUUGGGUAUAAUAACCUUGCAAGGGAAGGUGAAAACUAGUACGAAUUUAUCUUGGAACUAGAAUGCAGAGCUAAGUUCUCUUGAACGACGAAAGAUGGGAGAAAGUUAGGUUGUUUGAAUGUCUAGCUAGGUUAUUGAUCUCUUAUAUGCCAUUACAACUUCAAGUAUUCUUCUUAAGUCGUAUCAUGAGUUGCUGGUUCUUAUGCCUAUGUUGGGAACAAUAUUCAUCAUUUUCUUUCAUUAAUUAGAUUGCAGAACUUUUCGGAGACUUUGAUUCAAAAGUUUGAAUGGCACGGCUAAAAACUAUGUUUUGAGUCUGCGUUGUGGCCAUGGUCUAAAAGGGAGAGAAAAAGUUUAUGAACACUGCCCACAAAAACAAUCCAUUGUUUCUCGAAAAUGCACCUCCGUCGUCCUCGUGGCCUGCCUGUCUCUUUUGAUGCCGCUUACUCCUUCAUCCUGCCACCGGUAAUUACUCCUCUUCUUCUCCUCAUGUAAAGUAUAUAUAAUAUAUCAGUAAUUAAACGUUCUUACAUCGUAUGGACUUUCUAAUCUCUGUUGUGAAUUGGGUUGAGGUUAUUUUUUUAGUUUGAUUUUACUGUGUUUAUGGUGCAGCUGAAAGAGUGGAGGGUUUUGAUUUGUAUUAAUCCGUUCUUACAUUGAGUGGUGUUGGUGAGGCCGACAAUGGGGAAGACUGAUUUGAUUAAUGAUUUAUAUGUCUUUUAAAUUUGCUUUUAUCUUAGUUUCAAUUAUGUUUGAAGAAAGAAAAAUGUGUGUGUGUUGCCAAUUACUUUUCAUCUUUCUUCACUUAUUUGUUUUUUCUCUCAUUAGUUACUUAGAAAAAGUAGAAGUGUUGCUUCUAAUUUCUUGUUCUAGUAUACUAUAAAAAGUUGCAAAUUUCUCCAUCUCAUUCUCUGUCUUUCCAUCACAUUUUUCUAAUUCCCCAACUGGGUUCUUUUCAACUAUCAAUACUAUGACUCUUUUAAUUCUCAGGACCUGCUCUUUGAUCUUCCUUCCUGGAAUCAAAUUUUUCUUGGUUUUUCUUUUCCCCUCCAAAUCAACUUCAAUUGGGUAUUUUUCAUUCAUUGAAGUUUCCUGGUUAUCUCAAAUUCAUGUCUUUUUUAAACUUAUGCAAAAUUGGAAAGUUUUGGUUUCACGUUUAGAUAUAUAUAUAUAUAUAUAUACACAUGUUGGGAGGAAUCAAUAUGAAAUUCAACAUUUGGGUUAUUUGCUUUUGGAUAGAUUGAAAGAAUGGUGUGGUGUAGCUUGUUUAGUUCAAUGAAAAGAUUAUUAAGAACUUGUUCAAUCAUGCUGAUUUUUUUGUUGUUGUUCAAUUAAUUUAAUACUAUGAGGCUUUCUUUUACUUUUUAGCUACUUUAUGCUUAAAGUUAAUUUAAAAUACUCUCUAGAUAUGCUUCAUGUUUUGUUGACUAUGUUGAAAAGCUAACAAUUUAAAACUUCUAAAAACUAUCUAUCUUGAGUUUAGACAUGUUUCAUCUUUAUUCAUAUUGAUAAUUCAUAUAAUCAAGCUUUGUGAUAUUAUUAAUUAUUCUUGUUGUACGCUUAUUAGUAGUUGUUUGAAUUAAAGUAUAGUAUUGAAGUCUUCAAAAUUUAUGUUUUAGGACCUUAAUAAAAAAAUUAAAUAAAUAAAAUGAUCAUGAUAUAUUACUACAUUUUCAGGGUGAUUUCCAAUAUUUUCAACUUUUAUGUGCUGUCAUAUCAAAACACAUGGAUGCCACUUUACAUCUCAAUGAUGAAAAAGAAUACCAUUCUUAUAAAUUAAAUGUUCCUUCUGCAGGUUGCCAAGUGAAAAAUUGGGAAUUAUGAUGUGGAAGUAUAUUCUUUGAGGCGCAGAAUAAAAGAGCUAAAGGAGAAGUUGGAAACUACGAAUGCAAGGGCUCAAUCAUUUCAGAAAGAAGGAAGGAUUUUGCAACAACAAAAGGUUUAUAUUGUAGCAUAGACAUGUAUAUGUUGUUGAUAUGGUACACUUUUCGGCUGCACAUAUACUUUGUUUAUAUUACACAUAGAUGAAAAGUUUGGGCUAUUGUAAUUAUGUAAUGACCAACUAUUUAUAUGGUUCAUUGAUAUAUACAAUUUGUUAAAAUAUAAUUGUUCAAUUAAUGUGUAGUUUAGCACAUUUGUGUACUGUCUUGCUUUACUUAUGUUUGUUAUUGUUGGACUUCAAAACAGGUGCAUGAUAAAUUAUAUUGAUAUUUUUAAUUUUAUAAUUUUUCAUUUGAAAAAAAGAAACCUUGAUGACAUUCAAAGCGUAUCAAGAAUAAACAAAAUCUUGACACAUAAAAAACUGUCAACUAAUCUUAUAUAUUUGACGCUUAAAAGCUGUAAAAAAAAAUGAACUCCUUAUUCUUGACACUGGAAGUAAAAAAUUUCAAGUAAUCUCAUAUACUUGACAGUUAUAUGAUUUUACUUGACGCUUAAAAACUGCCAAGUAAAACCCUCUUGCUCUUGACAUUGGAUUACUUGACGCAUUGAAGUAAACAGAUACUUGACAGUUUUUAAGCGUUAAGUAAAGCCAAUUUUAUAGUAGUGAAAAAAUUUACUUGAUUAUUGAUUGUUUCUCACCAAUUCUUGAAAUUGAAUGUUGCUUGAUGAAAUUGAAUGUUGCUUGAUGAAUUCCUUAUGAAUGUUCUUGGAAAUUAGUUGCAAAAGUUCUUUUUGCAAAAUUAUGAAUGAACUUGUAAUUUUCUUUGAAGAACAAGUUAAGGCUUUAGUUAAUAUUGCAAGAAUUAAACUAAUUAACUCCCUAUGAAAAUAAUCUCCUUUCUUGAACUUUGAUCAAAAUUCUUCCAAGAUUAAGCAAGUUGAUAAUGUGAAGAAUCUUGAAUCAAAGAACUCUUAAUUAAGCACGAUUCAAUUUUUAAUCAUCUUUGAUUCAAUGAUAAGAAUAGAUUAAUAGUCUAAGCUCAUUCCUCAAUUUUCUUAUUGAAUUUUAAUCUCUCAUUCCUUUUUCUUGAGAAUUCAGUUGCAAUUUAAAUUUUCCCUUUUCAUUCUUGGUUACAUUUGAUUUCUCUAAUCUCUUUUCAAUGGUUUUCUUUUCUUUUUGUUACUAAUCUCAAUUGUUUGAAGCGUUUAUUCAAGAAAAUAUAUUAGUCUACACUCUCUUAGGUUUGACACCCAUGCUUUCACCUAUCAACGGUAAGAGUAAAAGGUAAUCUACAUGCGAAACUAGGUAAGUACCCUUUUAUAAUAAUUUUCAUUUUCGAACAUACUUGUGUUUAUUACUGACCUUGCUUACAUACAUUGCAUAAUUCUUUAACUUUUGCAUAUCAAAUUGACUCUUGUCAAAAUGGCAUGGUUGUCGGGCAGUGGCACGACAUAGGAUAUUUCUUGAAUCUUUACUUACAUUUUUCUUCGUUCGUAAUCUUUAGAAAAGCAUAUUACAUUUUUUUUUAGUCUUUCUUUGUUAUAUAUAGAAUAAAACAAAUAGUUAGCAUGCGAUUUUUUUUCUUUGCUUUCUUUAAUUCAUCUAGACUAAGGAAAGAAAAGAAAAGGCAAGCUAGUUCAUUACAGAACCAUUUGAACAUCCUAAAAUUUCAAGUGAAUUUUUUAACUAAACUUUUUACUUCUUUUGUGAAGGAGGAGGUUCCUAAAGAUGUGUCUUGUGGAAUAUGUGGCUUUCGAGGCCACCAAAAUGAUCAAUGCCUAAUAUUUAAAGAGUUAAAUGCCUACAACUGUCGAUACACUUCUUUACCCUCAUUAUCACAAGGUACGUACUUAAAAGAAUUAAUCUCAGGGUUAGCUUAUAGCUUAAAUAAUUUUAAAACUGAUUUUGAGAAGAAUUUAGCUAAAUUGAGUGACUAUACUGUUAGUUCAAUUGGAAGCAUGAGAAAUGACUUAGCUAAGUUGAGUGAACAAACUGUUAAUCCAAUUAGAUCCGUGAAUAAUGAUAUAGAAAUCAUGAAAGCAUCCAUCUCUGAGAUAGAAAAUAAGCUUUAUCAAUCAACAACACACAUUCUUGAAACGGAAGGAAAUGACGAACUUCUUGUCCAUCCAUCUCUGAGAUAGCAUGUGUGAAUGAUAUUACUUUAGGAAGUGGAAUAAUUUUCAAUGAUAAUGAUGAUCCAAAGUCUUAUAGUGAUCAUGUUUCCUUGUGUGCACUUGAUACUUUAGAACUAUUGAGACAUUUGAGCAUGAUAAAUUCAAUGAACUUAUAGAACAAGAAACUCUAGAAUAUUUUGAUAAUAAAUUUGCUAAAGAGAAACCUAGUGAUAAUGAUCUUUCAAUCUUCCUUGACUUUGUUACUAGUAUAAAUGAUGAGCAUGUUUUGGUUGACAAUGUUGCAACACAUGAACAACAUGCUUUAGGUAAUUAUCUUGCAUCUGGUAAAGAAUAUGAUUUAGGGAGAGACAUUAAGGAUGAUGAUGAACAUAUUUUGAAAACCAUAGGCAUUGAUAAUGAACCUGACACAAGCCAUCCACGUAGAAAACUUUGAAAAAGAGAAUGAUUCUUGUGAGGUUUAUUUUGUAUAAAGAAUGUGAGAAUUCUAAUUCCAAUGAACUCACUUUACCUUUGUAGAAAAAUGUGAUAGAACUUAAGGUUCUUCCUUCCUUCUCACCUCAAAUAUGUGUUAUUAGAAGAAACGAACACAUAUCCUGUCAUAGUUUUGAAGGAGCUUACCGAAGAAUAAGAAGAAAGGUUUGCUUGCAACCUUGAAAAGACGUAGGCAAGCCACACGUGUGAGGUUCAAUUUGCUCGUUCUUUUUCCUUUGAACUUUAAUUUAGGUGAUUUUUGUGUUGUUGUGCUCGUAUCAGAGUCUACUUUCAUAUUCUACACAAAAAUAUCAAAAUAAUGAACAUAUGCAUGAUAAGGAUUUAGAAUAAGCUAUCUUUAAUCAGGUCAAUAUUUGCCCUAAUAUAUAGUCAACACCAUCGUUUAGAUUUGAAGCCUUUUUUCCAUCUUUAAAAAAACUGCACAGUCAUUUUAUACACGAUCGUCUAUCAUUUCCUCCACGAUUAUGUAUUUUGGUCGUUCAGAAGAAGAAUUACGUGCGUGCAUAUAACCAAUUAAUCUCAUGAUAACUGGACAUUUUUGGUAUUUUCAAUUCUAGGCCUGUGGGCUUUUUUCGUUUCCAAAAUUGUUUGUACAGUGUAAAUAUUUUGUCAGUUUGUUAUAUUUUUGCAAAAACCCAUUAAUUAAUUGUUUGAUUAUUUUUUAUUAAAUAUGAUUUAAUCAAAUUAUUUAUUUAUUGAUUUAUUGAAUUUAAUUUAAUACAAUUUAAUUAAAAGUUAAAUAAAUUAAAAUCCACAUUAAUUGAUUUCUUGAUAUAAUGGUUAUAUAAUAGAUAUUUGAUGAUUGUUAUAAUAUUGAAUAUUUGUUUUAUUAGUGUUUUAAAAUGAAUUAGACAUUUAAAAUCUAUAACAACGAUAAAUUGCAUGCUCACCUAGGUUAAAAUCGUGGGUGAGGGAUUAUGUGACAACACAUCCCACGGUCUGUUCCAUUAGGUUGCAUAGUUAGUUUCAUGUAAUGUGUCUGCUUGUAUGUGGUGGAGCGACGCUCCCUUGUGAGGGUUGUAUUAUAGGAUUUGGAACACAGUGAAUUCUAUAUAUGGAUAGGGUCUCUUUAAUCGAUUUUCAUAUUGACUUUUUACUUUUUACUUUUGAGAGUAUAACAAUGCUUAUCUCUGAGAUUUGAAAAUGGUGGGUUACAAUUACAAGAAUUUUUAAGGUGUUAGUCUAUUCUUAACUGAAGUAGUGAUAACUAAGUGCAAUAGAAAUAUGAGAUAUUCAAGAGAUAACAUAUGAUCGAGAUUGUCUUGGUUCAAAGGAGGAAUAAUCGACUACCCUUUGGAGGAUGUUAUUCUAAACCUUUGAAAUAUCGUUGCAAAAUAGUAUAAUGAUGGAUACAUUUUUUAAGUUUGCUAAACAAUAUUAGUUCUUAAAAGGUUUUACAUAGUUUUUUCACUAAGUAGAAUACGUUUUACUUUUGGGGAAUUUUUACAAAUAGCAAAAUAUGUUAAAAAUUUUACAAGCUAUAGAAAAUUUUUGAAUUCUAUCAAUGAUAGUUACUGAUAGACUCCUAUCACUAUUGGCUAUCAAUGUCUAUUAUUGAUAGAAUCUGAAAAUUUUUGCUAGAUGUUGGAAAUAUUUGGUCAAAUUUGCUAUUUUUGACAAUUUCCCUUUAUGUUUCAGCAUAAAUAGCUCAAUAGUACAACUCUUAGCUACUAAGAAGCUUAACGGCUACAAAUAUGUGACAUGAAAAUUUAACUUAAAUUCAACACUAGUUGUCAAAUGCUAACCGAAAUGUUCGAGAAGUAUAUGAUCGAUGGGUUAAGGCCAAUCCAAAGGUCCGUGUCUAUAUGCUUGUCAGUACGUCUGAUGUUUUGGCAAAGAAACAUGAAUCCUUAGCCACGACUAAAGAGAUUAUGGAUUCAUUGAGGGAGAGGUUUCGUCAACCUUCAGGGUCCCUCAAACACGAAUCAAUUAAGCACAUUUACACCGAGCAAAUGAAGGAAAAUACCUCUUUUAGCGAACAUGUCCUCGACAUGAUGAUACACUUCAAUAAUGAUGAAGUAAAUGGAUAUCCCAUCGAUGAAGCAAAUAUAAAGAGCUUUAUUUUACAAUCUCUUUCGAAGAGUAUUGUACUGUAUUAGAUUAACGGGUCUCUGAAUAAGAUAAAGUUCACUAUAGCCACCCUACCUAAUGAGCUCCAGCGAUUUCAGAAUCUUACCAUGGGUAAAGUGAAGGAAGUAGAAGCAAAUGUUGCUAGAGCUGAUAAAGUGUUUAUGAAAGGAUCGUCCUCUAAAACUAAAGUUGGGCCUUCACUAAUGAAGAUUAAGGGAAAGGGGAAGACUUCCAAGAAUAGUAAGAGAAAGAAUAUUGCGAAAGGUAAAUGUUACCACAGCAACAACAAUAGGCAUUGGUUGAGAAAUUACCCGUAGUACCUUGUUGAGAAGAAAGCUGAGAAGAUAGCAUAAGGUAAGUAUGAUUUACUGACUGUUGAAACGUGCUUAGUGGAAUAUGUUACUUUAACCUACUAAUCAUAUUCACUCCAUUUCAGAGAAUUAUUUAUUGAAAAGCAUGUAAAAGACAUGACCAUUCCUAAAGUUUGGAACAUCAGAGAUUAUCUUAGCAGAAGCAGUGGGAGAUCUAAAGUUGUUUCGAUAGAUAUAUCUACUUAAAUAUGUUUUGUAUGCUUAUGGAAAAAUAGAGGAAUUUAAUAUCUAUCAAUUGUUUCAUAAUUAAUCUAUAUAAUAUAUUUUGAAUUCAAUAAAGUGUUUAUUUUUCUAAAAACUGUAUCCAAAUUUGUUCAACUAUAAUUAUAAACAACUUAUAUAAGUUAAGACCAAUUGAGGCAAAACUUCUUUUUAAUACUGAAAUGUUUAACAUAAAAAAAAAAAAAAAGAAAAAAAAGAUUUCUUCUAAAUGUCUAUAUAUGGUACUUAGAUUUGGUCUCGUAAAUCUCAAUGUGAUUGGUAGAUUGGAUAAGAGCAACUUCUAAACUAGUUAGAAAAUAACUCUUUACCUUUAUGUGAGUCAUGUGACCAUCUCGCACAAUUUCUCGUCCAGACUACAUAACCCGUCUAAGAAAAGUUAUAACCUAAAAUUCAUAACUCUUUUUAUCAAACUUCCUCCUAUAAAGUUUCUUUAAAAUAUGUUAACUUUCUUACCUCAAAAUUUCAGAGCAAAACGCCAAAUGAUGCGUUUUGUAGCCCUCUGUGAGCACACUUUACUCAGAUUCACUCGCGAAUUAACCUUCACGCCUUCUCAUAUCCAAAACGCUAAUUUUCUCAUAUCCAAAAUGCCCAGCAGUAUUCCAAAAUGAACUAGACUCAAUUUUUGAGCUUUUAAGACUAAUUUGAGUGAAAAUGUCCAAGUGAGUUGUGAGAAACUCCUUUAUGAAGUUAGCUAAAACGCCCAAGACCCUUUCUAACCUCUAUAGUUAUUUCGCCAAGACAACCCAAAAUGCUUGAACACUUCUUUAAACGCCUAAGAAGGUUCUCCAUUUUCUUUUUAUUGCCUAUGACACUCAUUUAGAGGUUAUAUCGCCUUCCUUGUUGCCCACCUUAACCUCUAAAUGUCCAAAACCAUACAUUUUCUACACUAGCCAAAAUCUCUCAAAUUUUAUCUUCUCUUAAACCCUAACUUUCAUCUUCCCAAAUAUUUUUACUUCCUUUUCCCCAUAAAUUUUAUUUCUCUUGUCUUUGACUAAGCUUAAUAAAUUCCUAAGGUUUAAGAAUUUUUGGGUUUCAUAACUUCCUGCGGCAUUGACUUGCAAUAAAGCCAUUGAUUGAAGGAGUUUGUUCAUCUCAGUGACUUGUCCCUGUAAUGCCACCAUUGCAUUCUUGUCUACUCCAUCUUCUAUCCUUCCUCUAUCUAUUUUAUUUCCCUUGCUAUCAAUUUGUGAUCCAAAGUCAUCAUCUCGCCAUUCCUGACAAUUGUUGGCUAUAACAUCCAAGUUUGUUUUUAUUUGAUUGUAGGAUGAUCUGAGCAUCCCGCCUAUAAAAACAAGGUCAACAGAUUGUUGUGUAUCCCUGCUUGUUAGUUUCGACAUAACAAUUUCGUGUGUAUAGCACAAAUGCAAUAUGUCACUAAGUAGAGUCAUUGCAAGUGAUGUGCUCGCCACAUCUUUUUGUGAUGUGCGCUUAAUUCUAUGUAAGAAUUCAAUGGUCAUGAUCAUAGCAUGCAAAAGGCUCACUAUGUACCUCUUCAUCGUGUAAUACUUAAGUCCUUGUUGAGUACGAGUUUUCCUACUGCGUGUCCAAGUGCAAGAGAAACAGUAGGUUUACCUGGAUGAUACUGGAUCAAACACUGGGAAUUGUUUAUAGACAUUUUCUAGGGAAUUAUUCAUUAGUUAGAAGACAUAAGAAUUAAUUAAUUAAAGUAUAAAAGAACGAGAACCAGGAUUAAAACUACUUAUGUACAGCUAGAGAAUCUGUAAAGAUAAUAAAUGGAUGCGAGGUGGAAUUGUAUGCAGACUAACUUGUAUGCGAAAAAGAGUGAAUAAAGGUCUACGCACCAUGAACCGAUUAAGCAAUGCGAGAGAUUUGAUGCGAUAUAACUUACUCAACCAACUUAUAAUUAAGGUGUGCUCCUCUUUAGAGUCAUUAAAUGUCACACAUAGUCUCAUUUCAAGAUCUACACCAUUAAGUUUGAUCAAGCAAGAUAUAUCUAGAAGAAUUAACUUAUAAAUCUUAUACACUUUACCAUUAAGAACAAAAUCUCUCAACGCCUAAUAUUCACACUUGUUCACCUUUUAUGACACAGUGGUGGAAGUUAUCUCUCAAAGGUGGAGUUGGUCGCCAAACUUUUCCUUGCAUGCAUUAGCCUCAUUAUUGCCACUUGCCCUCUCGAGUGGUUGGCAAUUGGCUAUGGCCAUACGAUGAGCCUAGCUUAACUAAUGCGAUAAGGAUUAUAAGCUAGGCUUCUUAUCAAGAACUAUCAGUAACUUAAACUACUAAUAAUACUUUGACGAAUGAAAAGUCAGAAAUGAUGGAUUGAAAAUGUAUAAACAUGUAAUAUAUAUAUAUAAAGAAUGUAGGCCUUAGCCCAUUGAACCAACAUAUAUUACAAAGAAGUACAAAAAUGAAGAGGAAGGAGAAUAAACGAUAUUUCAAGUUAGAAGACAACAGGAAUAUGGAUUCUUCCCUUCUCAGGAGUCAAGCUCUCGCUUUUACAACUGAUCGGAGAAGAAAGACGAAAAUUUUUACAGACGGCGGAAAGGUUAUUCCUUUCCGCCACUCUUUAGGGUUUUGGUCAGGCACUGUGCCGGUUCAGGCUUCUUGUUCUAGGUUGAAGGAGAUGACUUUUAUAUAGGCAACAUUUGGGAGGAAAACUUCUAUUCUUCUAAACUUGUCAGCGCCAUUUGCCAAAAAGUAUCUAUUGCACGUCACAUCAGUUUCAGUGCCCACUAUAUGUCUUCUAGUGACCCUUCAUCGUCUGAUAAUGUUAUUCCUCGCCUAGAAACGUUAAUUGCCAGAUGAAUUCCCUAUCACGUAGUCCUAGCACAAGAUGUUUCUUGUGGUUUACUAGUUUCUUUCUUUGUUUCAUUAUCUUGCAUUCAGACAUUAAAAUUGCAUGAAACAGACAUAAUACUUAUGUAAAGUGUAUUUGCAAAUACUUAUGUGUUUACUGUUAUGAUAUAUAUAUAUAUACAUAUGUCCUUUAUUGUAAUUUUACAUAGUCUCUAGGGUUUAGUUUAUUCUCUUUAUAAAUAUGUAACAUUGCUUUGACUCAAGGUGAAUAAGACAUACGUUUCUGAAUUCUAGAUUACAUUUACAACACAAGCUACGCAUUCUGAUCGUCUUUUUACGCGUUUUGACCUCAUUAUUCUAAUAAAAUGAGCUAUAAUAAUGGAUAUUUAUACACAUUAUCAAUCUUUGCUUAACUCGAAAUAAAACUGUUCCAUCAUAACACAUCCAAGGAUGCUGUGGUAUGGGCCUUCCUUGAUCAUUCUCUUCAAUCGCCUUCAUGAGUCUAUCAGAUUCUUAAUAUCUCUCUGCUCAAAGGUCAUCAGAUCCUACCUUCUUCUUGCAUUCUCAAUGGGAGGGAAUAACCUUUUCAUGAAUUUUUCAAUCAGGUUGUCCUAUGUAGUAGCUUCCCGUUCCUCCAAGGAGUUUACCCAUUGUUUAGCUUCAUCGCGUAAUGUGAGUGGGAAUACGCUAAACGCAGUUCGUCUUACAAUAUGCCUGUCAUAUUAAAUGACGCACAUAUAUAGUAAAAGUUUCUUACAAUCUCGUGAGGAUCUUUGCGCGGAUGUCCUCCAAACUACCCAACGUUCUAGAUCAUUUGCAACAUUACUGGUUUGAUUUCGAAUCGUGAGUUUUCUCCAAACUCAGUGUAUGUGAUACCUGAAUUAAAGUUAUAGAGGUUUGGUGAUGCAUAUGAUUUGAUGGGGCAAGAUAAGCGGGAUUUUUAUAUAGGGCUUGUUGGUUGGCAGAGUUAUUGUUUUGAUUGUUCAUGUUUGCUUCUUGUUACCUCUACCUUUGUCUAUGAUUUCUCUGAAAUGUUUGCUUAAUUUUAAGGUCAAUUUGAAAUUUAGGUUGUUCGCUUGCACUCAUAAACUUGUUUGCCAGCUUUUCAGCUAAAGUACGUGAUUCAGCUGUUUGGCUAAAGUACGCGAUUCAGCUUUUAGGCUACAAUACACAAAAUUGAACUUCUACAUAAUUUAGCGCACAAUUUAGUCAAACUAGGAAAAACUUUAAAAUUCCCCCACAACGACACCAAAAUUUGCUUGUUUCUACUCAUGCACUCUAUUUUCUCAAUAUAUGGCUAUGAUUUUUACGACUGAUGGAUGGCGAAAUAGAGUUAUGCGAUAAAAGGUGCAUUUCUAUUCAUGCGUUGCUAACAUAAUAAUUAAACAUUGUCGCGUAAGCUUUCCUCUCUAUUGCCCAAGUGUAAGCAAUGAGAGGUUUUCUAGUAAUUCCAGGGUCGAAAUCAGAGAAUUUAAGCUCAUAAUUUAUGCAAUUGCUUACUAACCUAUGUGGCAUACACUAUACAGUAAAUCAUAUGAACAAUAUAUCAAUUACCCUAACAAUUUACACUAUUGUGCUUGACGGUGCUAACAUAAUAAUUAAACGAUGCAAUAUAAAAUCGGUAUAGACAUGGUGAGGAAGGAAAAUUGAACUGCUAAAUACAACGACUGAUGAUUCACUACCUCAAGGCAAUACAAUUCGACAAAUGGGCCAGAUAAUUCAAAAAUAUAGGCUGAAUAAUUUUGUUUUUGUCGGAACAUUCGUACCUUUUUUAAUGCUAAGAUAAACAACUUUUUGCAGAGUUAAAAUCUUUCCAAACUGAUCGGCUUAACUAAGAAUUGAUGCAAGCAACUUCUUAGUGCAAUGUCAUACUUGCUCGCCUUUCAGGAUGCAAAUACACAAGUUAAGUGAUGCAUAUAUCUAAUCAUAUUCUCAGUAAUGCAUGUAGAGGAUGAGCUUGGCAACAAGAGUUCAGUGAUGCUUUCUUCUCACCACUUGCUUAGUUAAAUAGGGUUAUUAUGUGCUUGGUGAUUACAAUCUAUACUUUUGCUAUUCUUUUGAAUGAAUAAGAUUAAUAUACUCAUGUUUGACUGAGCAAAACUCUUACAGCAUUCAUUAUAACUUUCUUAGCAUUGAAUACCAUUCAUUACUACUUAGCUAAUAAAUCACAUACAUAUAGGCGAGAUAAGAAAUGGAAGAAGAAAAGCAUUGCUUUUAUAAAUAACACUUAAACCUUCUGGCCAUGAAGUUCUACUUACAAAACAACAUAAAAUAAGAAAGAGAAAGUGAAAAUACAACAGGUGAGUUACUCCACAGAGUCUAAUCUCACGUACUAUUUGCUUCGCUUUUUGCCUAUAGAUGAGGGGAACAAUGGAUGAAUGAAUCUCUCUCUCUUUUGUUUUAGCUCUCACCUAAAACUCAAAGUAAGGGAGAAGGAUUGAUGAUAUAAAGAGCUUGCAUUCCGCCCAAAUUGUGCACACUUUGUUUUGGAGUGAGAAACUCUAUUUAUACACCAGGAGUGAUGUUGACAUGCCGGCACGCGACAUUAAGAUCUCCAAAAAUUUAUAGCUAUGUUGUGCAGCCUGUCCUAUUAGUCAUCUUCUGACUUUCCCGCCAAAAAUCUUUUGUUUGCUAUCGGCUUGAUCGCCUAGCAACUACUUCCUUGCCAUAGAAAGGUUGGUUGGGUCUCCUUGCGCUUAAUGAGCUACUCGUCGAGCUUCACCCUUCUUCACUUAGUAUCCUGUGAUAAGAGCACUUAAACAUUUUGCGUUAGGUUUUUCCCAGCAUAAUCAAAUCAACCACUUUUUCUCCCUAUUUUCUUCUAUUUUCAUGCGAUAAGACUUCAUUAUUUAGUUUUAAAAGGCUACUUUCUACUAGUUAUCACUAAGCAAGAAGUAUAAACAAAUGACUUGAAAUGUACACAAACAGAUAUGAAAAAUACAUACCAAAAUUAAACUAAUGAUGUCCUCUCCAAAGAUACAGCCUCUUGAACAAUAUGAAGAACAUUCCUACAACAAUUGAAUAUUAAAACUUCAAAAUCAAUCAACUAUAACGUGCCUGAAAAUGAGAUUUCAAAUAACAAACUAUUAUGUGUAGAUCCAAGAGUUGGAUUUCAAGUCCUAUUGUAUAGAUUUAUGUACAACUAUACACCAUUUAUGUGCUUUCAUUGUGUAUAAAUAACUAACAGGACUUAUUGUUAACCCAAAUAAGGAAGAACACUUGGAAAAUGUAAUGCAAAACACUAAAUACAGUCCAAAAUCCAAACUAACUAAUAAUUUAUAAAAAUAAAGAUAUACAUAUACAGCAAGAGGCCUAUCUUAAUUAAAUAAACUACUAAAGGGAAAGCUUUUUAAAUCCUUCAACCCACAAUGUUUAAUUCUUAGACGCAGUAAUUCAUAAAGAUAAAGGUUAUCAGAGUUCCUUUUAACUAACGAAUAAAACGUGUAACUGCCAAUAAUAAGCAAAACCAACUUAACAUAAAGUCGUUCAGUAAAAUGUAACGACGCUUAUUGAACUGAACAUAAUCGUCUAGAAAUAAGUGUAAGUUCGUAAACAUCUUUUUGUAUCUCGAGGCUUAGAAUCUAUGAUCUGCAAGAUGACAAUGACAAAUGAUCGUUACAAACUUAAUUUGGUAUUUGAUUAACUUAAUUUGGUAUCUGAUUAUGAAGGUAAUAAAAAGGUUGAAAUUUUGAAUAAAAGCGUUGCUAACAUAAUAAUUAAACAUUGUCGCGUAAGCUUUCCAACAUGUAAGACCAAAAUAUAUACUUUACAACAUGAGAAAGAUUAAAUCCAUAAUCUACAAAACUAUAUUGAUAGAGGCCAACAUUUGCUCCAUCCACAAUGGCAUCACAAUGAUUAUGUACAUCUAUGAGUGCAACACGCCCAUGGCCAUAUUUUGUAACCUUAUAUAUGCAAAAGAAAUAUAUAUAUAUACAUAUAUAUAAUGAAAAUUUUAUGAACCUACGCGUGCACACAUUUAAUAAUAAUUACUUGUCUGCAUUUUCCAUUUUGGCAAAUUCACCCACAAGAAUGCUAUAAGUUACCGAGCUCAUUUCUAUGUCUUAUCUUCUUUCACUUUUCUAACAAAAGAUAGUAUGAAUAUGGCUGCACAUCAAUAAAGCUUACUAUUAUCGCAAGACGACACACUUGAAAAAAAACAUUUAUAUUGAAUUAAUAUAGUAAGUAUACUUUUGCAAUGACAUAUCUACCAUCAAAAUAUAUAUUUCAAGCAUAAAAUACUUAAUUGACCUUCUAUACAAAUCAAUCGAACUUUAACCAUAAUCAAAACUGGAAUGGUGACCUUUGUCAGUUGACCUUUGUGUCAAUAAAUGAAGCAAAAAUAUCAAGCUAACAUUAAGAUCAAAUUAGACCUUUAGUACAAUUGUAUAAGCCAAUUUUAAACCUUUCAAGAAACCAAUUCUAUAAGCCAAUCGUCUUCCUUGAGAUAGAGAACAAUUCAAGAAACUAAUUUAGACCUUUAGUACAAUUCUAUAAGUCAAUUUUAAAGUUAUUAAUGUAUCAAUACAAUUGAGAUUCUUACCUUGUCUGUAUGAUGUGGCAUAGUUAUAUUACAUUGUCCAGUAGAUACGUCCCAAAUCUUGAUUUGCUUACCAGCACUUGCAUUAGCAAAUAUGCAAUCAAGAAUUUGAAACAAAAUAACUCCAAGAUGCAAGUGGGUCAACAAUUUUAAGUGAAAUGAUUAAAAUGAAAAAUUCAAGAAAACUAGCAGCUUACAUUUCUAUAGAAUAACAAAGACUAUAUUCAAAUUUCUUAAAGAAACCACAGUGCUUCUAAGUCCACAAAAGAAGAUGUAGUUAUCAGUUGUCAAAUACUUCACAUUUACUUGAUACAAUCUUCAAUAAGGCUAAAAUCAAUAUUUUAUAUAAUAAAAAAUCAAAUAAUAGAAACAUGGACAAAUCCCUUUCCUGAAGGUUCAUGAAGAUCAUUCUCACUAAUCUUGUUCGUUCCCUUUGAAUGAGACGCGAAGCAGCUAAGAUAGUACCCUUCGCAACACCGUAUUUCUUAAGUGGGCUGGAAUUUCGGAAUGGGGCAAUGGGGUUUUUCAAAGUUUCAAACCAUAGACUUUAGAAACGGAUAAUAUUUAUUUUUCAGAAACCAAAAUCAGAUAGUAACAAAAAAAGACUAAUCACCAGGAAAGGUUAUAAAAAACCAAAUCAUAUGCCAUGUCUAAAAAUAUUAUGGUUACUUGGAACGAUUCGCUAACCCUUCAGAAAGAGAAUCAAAUAUCAUUUCAAAUGCAUCCUUUUGAAGAAUAACUCCAAGCUCUUUUUGAAGCUUCCUUCUGAAAUAUACAUAUAGAUUCCUUUCUUAUUCUUUCAAUAGCAAAUAGUUGAGAAAGCAAAAGAAAUGGAAUGAAACAUUGAGAAAUCAUAAUUUAGAACCAACAAAUGGUGUCAUAUUGUCAAAGCAGAUGAGUGAGGUGAAAAAUAAAGACAAUUAAUAAUCAAUAAUGUUACCUAGCAAUCACAAGUAAACAAUCAUUUUCUGUAACAAAAUUCUUUCGAUUGGUGAGUGAAAAGAUAGAAAAACCCAAGGAUCUUACAAAAGACGACUACAAUCAACUUGCCAAUUGAAAAAAUGGGCUUAAUCACAGAGAAAGAGUACAGUGAUGUUUAUGAGAAACUGAACCACACAUAAAAUUAAUUAUUUAUUUUGCAUUAAAACUUACGGAACAACACUUAAAAGGUACCAAACUUUGAUGGAAAUUUCUUCAAAAUCCUCCAAAUCUAUAAUCUUUCCUCCAAAACAUUAUGGGUAACAUUAAUUUAUGUCAAAACCAAAUGGGUAUUCAAGGAAUCUGAGAAAACUCACUGAAAUAUUUGUCAAAAGUCUUACCGAGAACAUGUCAAAAUCACCUCAACUCCACUGGACAACACGAUAACAACCUUUUAAACUCAAAUAUAACAUUUCAAAAUCACGAGUAAUUUAAUUUUGCACCAAACACUUAAUGGAUAUCCAUGACCCAUUCAAGAAAACCAAGAUUCUCACCAAUUCUAUGUCAAAAGAGCCAAAAAUCAAUCUUCUUAUUGACUAGACAACAACUCAAUUCUUCCAAAACUUCAAAUCUAACAACGAAAUGUAAUGGAUAUUGUUAAACACAAGCCUAAACUAUAUAUUAAAAAGUUUCAAGAAACCCAACCAAAAUAUACAAAAAUAAGAAUACAUUACUCAAGAGUGAUCGAAGCGGGUCAGAACUAAUACAAACAACUUCGGUGCGCGCAACGGUGACGUUUGGUGGUAGGCUGCUAGACGGUUGGCGUGGGGAGGGUGGCUUCAGCACCACGAAGAAUAUGAUAAUUUCUUUGUUGUCAUUCACUUAAUUCUUUUCAACUCUCACUUACUCUCCGGGUAAAACAACACAACAAUAGUUUGGGCAAGAACCCAUCACAAAAAUUCAAAGAUUGAUUCCAAAACGAAAAUGAGAAAUAAAUGAAACCCAAAUCAAAUGAAGAAACCCAAUUAAGGAUUCUUGCGGCAGAAGCACGAUGAAGAUUGGUUGCCGUUCGCGAUCUAGGGUCACAAAUUGAGAAGAGAAGAAAACUAGAAACCAACUUGGAGAGAAAGAAAAGAAAAAUUGAUAGGGAAAGAGUAGAGUAAGAAAGAGUUAAGUAAGAAAGAAAAUAGAGAAAGAAAAGAAAAUUUGAUAAGGAAAGAAUAAAGAAAGAGUAAGAAAGUGAGGGAAAAUUUAGAUUUUAAAACCUAAAAAAAAUUAAAAAGAAAUUAAAAAUGGGGGUCAUUAAUGUCAAUUUUUACAAAAUUAAAAAAAAUUAAAAAAAAUAAAAAUGGGUUGAUCAUUAACGUUGGUUUAAAAAUGACAUUAAAUCCUUAUCACUAGUGUCGGUUUAAAACCGACAUUAAUGAUCAGCCUUUUCAAAAACGACAUUAAAGACAAUUUUCAUUCUUUUCACCUGACCCUAAAGUCCAUAUUUCUUGUAGGGUUUAUAAAUGUUAUUUAAUCUACAAAGAGAAGAUUAGACACCUUUUGUCUUGUGGAUUGCUUGUCAUUUUCCUUAAUGAUAUCAUUUCAUCUUAGUGAUAGAGUAUUAUCGGUAAUAUAUGACUUGUCAUGUAAAUGUAUCAUCGACAAAGGUCUAUCAUUCAUUUCCAUUAUAUGUAAAUUUUUCAUUGUUGUACUUCUACCUGUUGAUAAUUGACUUCACAUGUCGAUGUAUGCCGAUAGAAUAAAGGUAGCACUAAUUUGUGGUGUACUUUCAUAAAACGGGUUCCAAACAAUUACUACAUUUUUAAAAAAUAUAUAUUAAAGAAAGGUAAAAUAGAAUCAGGGAUAAGGGACACAAAUAUUAGCAAAGAUGCAGUUAAUUAAUAGCAUAGCAUAGAUGGAAAAAUGAAGAGUAAGACAUAGAUAGAUUAAAGCAUACAACAUCCUUUAUUUUGAUUACUUCCAAAAUAUUUGAUAGAUAUAAAGAUAAAAGCAACAUGUGCAUCAUCAUCUAAAGUAGACAACUAAGCUAUGCAUACACAGGAUAUUCAAUGUUCGUGGGGGAAACAGUAGAAGCUGCCGCAUCUUCAAAUCGUAAGAGUGCCCACGAGUGGUUAACUUUUUUAUGAAGCACAGUAGCCACAUAUACCUUUUCAAAUUUUGGGACAGAUGGAGCUAAUAUAAAUUCAUCUACCUUCACUAAGAGAUGAUAUUUUUCUUCUCCCACAGAAACUGAGCAAACAACGGCAAACCCUACACUGAUGAACUUUCUUUUUAUCCCUUUAUUGUAAUGUGUAUACUCCUCCACUGCAAACCUUCCCAUUGCUUGCAAAUACGAAUUAUACUCGACAUUUGAAAUUUGUUUGCAAUCUUCUUGAUUAUUAGGGACUACCAUUUCAACAAAAUCACUCAUCCUAAUUUUUAAUUGGUUGGGUAGAAAUUAAUUAAGCAAAGCUAUAUGAUUGUUGCUGCCUUUAUUCUAGCGGUAGUUGCACAUUUAUAGAGUUGUAGUGUAUUGGUUACUAUAGAUGAGAUAUAAAGGAAUUUAAUUUCUAGUACUACUAAUAGUUUGUUUACGUUGAAUGUUUGGAUUCUUUUUUAAGAAAUAAAAUUAAAGUAAGCAACUUUAACGAAACUAUGUAUACUUUUCAAAUUAAAGUUUUUCAUUCAAAGUUAUUGAACCCAAUAGUUUCUAAUAUAUUCGUAAACCAUAAAUUCUCAAAGAUUAUUGACAUACGAAGUCAAAAGAUGAUAUCCCAUAAAAUCAAUACAAAAAAGUAUUUACAAACUAUAGUCUUAUGGUAUAAAAAAAACAAGCAAAUAUGCUUACGUACAAUUUACUUGCAAACAUGCUUACGUAUGAUUUACUUGCAAACAUGCUUACGUAUGAUUUACUUGCAAACAUGCUUACGUAUGAUUUACUUUAUCUUCGUGUGAAAGUUAUUUUUUAUGAGUGAUAAUUUAUCACCAUUAUGAAUAUUCUUUCCUGAUUUUCUUAAAUUGAAAGUUUUUAUUGAUAGCAAUUGAUAGUUGUUAUAGGUUGCUAUCAUGGAUGAAUAUUACCAAUGAUAGCUUUUAAUUUGAGAAAUAUGUUAUUAGUUGAUAUAAUUAAUGAUUAAAAUACUAAUUUUGGCUUAUAUAAUUUCGAGUGCAUUGUUUUUAGGUCUAUGUUUAUUUUGAAAUGUCCAAUAGUUUAGUUGCAUAAAUGACAAAAGAAGCCUAAAACAAUAGUAUAUAUAGUACAAGAAUAAAAUAAUUUCAUAUACAACACAAAAAAAAAAAAAAUAGAAGACUAAAAUCUAACCACCAUUUUGGGUGUUUUUUGUCGAAUUUCUCAAAUUAAAAACUACCGCUGAUAAUUUAUAUUAGUGAUAUAUGUUAUCAUUAAUAGCUUUCAAUUUAAGAAAUGAUUAUUUCACACUCUUCUUCUCAAUUUCAUGUUGAAAGAUACCAUUAAUAGCUGCAAUUAGUGAAUAUCAUUGAUAGUUGUUGUCAUUUGUUAUUAUUGAUACUACUAUGAGUGAUAACUUGUCACCAUUAUGAAUAUUUUUUCUGGUUUUCUUAAAUUGGAAAGCUUUUAUUGAUAGCAAUUGAUAGUUGUUAUACGUUGCUAUAACUUAUGGGUACUACCAAUACUAGCUUUUAAUUUGAGAAAUAUAUUAUCAGUUGAUAUAAUUGAUAACGGGCCAAUGACUAUCAACUAUAGCUUUUAUCAAUGAUAGACAUUGAACGAUAUAAUAACUUUUAAUUUGAGAAAUAGGUAUUAGUAGCUAUAGUUAGUUACUAUUACUAGUAACGGCUAUUAGAGAUGACUUUUAAUUUGAUUUGAGGAUUAUCUACCGUUUUGAAAGUUUGAGUUUUAAAAGUUGUUGCCCAUAAUCUCUUUUGUAAUCAGGUUUAUUUCGAGGCCAACUUAGACCUCUACACAAUGGACAAGUCAUGAAUGACCCAAAAUAGGAUGUCAAGAGAAUAUGAUUUAGGAGUCGAAAGGUUCAUUAAAUUUGGGUUGAGUCAUGCCAAAGGUCUUAAUUCAAUUAGAUGUCCAUGUUUGAAUUGCGGCAAUCGUUUACUUAAGGAUGUCUCAACAGUUUGGUAUCAUUUGUAUGCCAAUGGAAUUGAUAAGAGUUACAAGGUAUGGUUCUGGCAUGGUGAAUAAUUGAACUCAGAUAACAUUACCAACACGAUGGAAAAUACAGUGGAUGAAACUGAUUAAAACGAUGAUUUAUUUAAUACAUUUAAUAUGGUUCAAUCUGUUCAAGAACAAUCUUGUAAUGCAUCAAAUACCUUCAACACUAUCUUUGAUGACGCGAAGAAACCCUUAUACCCAGGAUGUAAAAAAUUCACAAAGUUAUCAGCCCUCGUGAGAUAGUAUAACCUGAAGGUUAGGUAUGGUUGAAGUAACACUAGCUUCUCUAAAUUACUGUCCAUAAUAAGUGAUUAUUAUCAGAUAACAACGAACUUCCAUGUUCUUUGUACGAAGCGAAGAAAACACUAGGUGUCCUAGGACUGAGUUACCAAAAAAUUGAUGCAUGCCCUAAUGAUUGUUGUUUGUACAAAAAAGAAUAUGAAAAGAUGACCAAGUGUCCUAAGUGUGGUUUGUCAAGGUGGAAGAUCGCUAAGAACUCAAAAAAGGAAAAAACUGGUGUGGCUACUAAACAAAUAUGGUACUUUCUAAUAAUUCCAAGAUUUAUAAGAAUGUUCAAGAGAUCUGAAAAUGAUAAGAACUUGUGUUGGCAUGCGAUAGAUAGACAAGUUGAUAGUAUUUUGAAACACCCGGCUGACACUCCAUCGUGGAGGUUGAUAGACCACAUGUGGCCAACCUUUGGAUCAUAACCGAGAAAUCUCUGUUUGGGUUUGUCUACUGAUGGAAUUAACCCAUUUGGAGAUAUGUCAACGACGUACAGUUGUUGGCUCAUUAUCACUACAAUAUACAACCUUCCACCAUGGCUGUCUAUGAGAAGAAAACAUUUGAUGUUGACAAUGUUAAUAUCAGGUCCAAAGCAACCGGGAUACGAUAUCAAUACGUACUUAGCACCCUUAGUUGAUGACCUACAAAUGUUGUGGAAGGAUGGAGUUCGUUGUUUCGAUGCAUAUAAGGAAGAAUACUUCACACUACGGGCUGUCUUAUUGUGGAUCAUCAACAAUUUUCCAGCAUACGGUAAUCUAUGUGGUUUUAGUGUGAAAGGAUAUAAGGCUUGUCCAAUAUGUGGAGAGGAGACUACUUUGAUAAGAUUGCAACAUGGAAAAAAAAUGUCAUACAUGGGACACAAGAAGUAUUUGCCAAGACAUCAUCCAUACAAAUUACAAAAAAAAAAAAAAUUAAUGGGAAGCAAGAGCAUGGAAUUCCUCCACAACCCUUGUCGGGGGAGGCCAUGUACCUUAAGCUGAAAGAUAUGAUAUUUUCAUGUGGAAAGAAGUGUGGGAAGACCGUGCAUAACGAAGGUGUGGCAAUGACUACUGGAAAAGAAGACCAAAAUUUCAGAGACGAACAUGCUCGAUUGGUCGUUUAUGCUUCUGCAAAAAAAAUCUUGUUAGAUGUAUUCUAAUGCUAUUUAAAAAAAAUUUUGAUUAAGGGCUAGGAUUCCGUACUUGUGAAUUGUUGAAGCUUGAUUGGAAAUGUACGAAUAUUAUAAAUUGUAUUAUAUCGUAUAUAUAUUAAAGUGUUGGCUAUUUUUUUCUUAUGGGUGUCAAUAUUAUAAAUUCAAAAUUGUCAUUCUCAGCUACAUUAUUGUCAUUCAAAUGGUUCGUGUAAUGGUGGAGCGACAAGGAGAACAGGAAAAAAACUGUAGUAAAUUGAGAAAUUUGCAACAAGAAAUAAAUGACGUAAUAAAUGCAUUUGUGACAGUUAUUAAUUGUUGUCAAUUAGAAAACGAUGACAGUUGUUUAACAAAAUAAAUUGUCACGAUUGCCCUAUAUGUGACAAGAAAAAAUGUCGUCAAUAGAUAAACAAUGACAAAUUUUUUUUACAAAGAACUGUCACGAUUGCAAUAUAUUUGACAGCAAAAAAAUGUCGUCAAUAGCAAAACAAUGACAUUUAACUUUAUCGAAAAACUGUCAUGAUUACACAAUGGUUGACUGGAAAAAAAUAUCGUCAAUAACUAAACAAUGACAUUUUUAUAAAAAAAAACUGUCGCGAUUAACAUAUUCAUGACAAUUAAAAAAUGUCACAAUAAAUGAAUUCACGACAUUUAUUUAACCGUCGUUAAUACACAAAUGAUGAUAGUUAUUUGUUGUCAUAAAAAAAAUAUGACAGUUAUUUGACAUUGUUGAAUGUUGAUUAACGACAUUUAUUUCAUGUCAUAAAAUAACUUAUUACGACAGUUUUUAAAAACUGUCAUCGAAGGACUUUCCAUGACUCCCGCUUCUAUGACUGAAAAUAACUAUCGUGAAUUUCGUUUACGACAGUAAAUAUCUGUCGUCAUAGACCACUUUUCUUGUAGUGCUACUUUUUCUUCAAUUUUUCUUUUAUUUUCCAUCUUCUUUCUUCUCUUCUUCUCCGAUGUUUGUUUUUUAUCUUUUUCAAAUCAUGAUCUUUAUUUUUAAUCGAUCACAAAUCUUGUAUUAUUUUUUUCAAAGUGUUAUUUGGUUCAAGAUCGUGCACCAAAUAUAAAAGAUUUUGGUGCAUGAUCUUGAACAAAAAUAAUUGGAAUAUUGAUAUCUGAUUGUUUAGAUUUAGCUACAUGAACGUAUACCAAAUUUAAACGUUACUGAUACAAGAUCGUGUACCAAAUGUAAAAGAUCAUGAAAAAAAAUCAUUUGGAUAUUGAUACAUGAUUAUUUAGAUUUGGGUAUACGAUCGUGUAGCAAAUAUAAAAAAUUUAUAUUUGGUACAUGAUCUUGAAAAAAAAUCGUUCGGAUAUUUAUUUGGUACACGAUCUUGAAAAAGAAUAGUUCGAAUAUUGACACAUGAUCUUGAAAAAGAAUCGUUGGGAUAUUGACACAUGAUCGUUUAGAUUUUGUAUACAAUUGUGUAUUGAAUCUAAACAACCAAGAUCCACAAUCGUGUACUAAAUCUAAACAACCAAGAUCGUUUAGAUUUGGUACACGAUCGUGUAUCAUUUCAUAUACGAUAUGAUAGUUUAGAAGAAAAAUUGCGCACGUGAGUGGUUAAUUAAUUACAUGUUGACUAAGACUUUUUUCAUAUUUUUCAUUUUAAGGUUGUGAGUUUUGUUCGUUUUCAAAAUUAUUAAGAUAUUUUGUUUAUAUUUUUCUAAAAAAAACCCUAUAUCUUAACCAUUAAUUUAAUUCUAAAAAUAACUUUCACUCUAAAGUAAAUCGUACGUAAGCAUAUUUGCCUUUUUCUUUACCAUAGGAAUAAAGUCUGUACACACUUCUAUUAAUUUCAUAGGAUAUCAUCUUUUGACUUCAUGUAUCAGUAAUCUCUGAAAAUUUAUGAGUCUACAAGUAUAUUGAAAACUAUUCAGCUGUACUUUGAAUCUACUACUUUAAUUUUGAAAGGAAACAUGGUUUGAUUAUAGCUGUAAUUUUAAUAUUAUUUUAAGAGAGGAAUACGAACAUCCAAUCUAAACAAAGUAUUAGGACUAUAUGAAUUAAAUUCCUCAAUAUCCACAUUUACAGGAACCAAUCCACAACUCUAUAAAUGUGCAACUACCAUCAGAACAAACCCUCAACAAUUAUAAAGCCUUGCUUAAUUACCUUCGAAUGAGUAAUAAUUCUGUUGCAACGGUAGUCCCUAAUGAUCGAGAAGAUUGCAAACAGAUUUCAAAUGUUGAGUAUAAUGAGUAUUUGCAAGCAAUGGGAAAGUUUGCAGUAGAGGAGCAUACACAUAACAUGAGCGGAAUAGAAAGAAAGUUCAUCAGUGUGGGGUUUGCGGUGGUUUGUUCAGUGCCUGUGGGAGGAGAUAAAUAUCACCUCCUAGUGAAGGUAGAUGAAUUUAUAUUGGCUCCAUCAUUCCCAAAGUAUGAAAAGCUAUAUAUGGCUACUGUGCUUCAUAAUAAAGUUAAUCACUCGUGGGCACUCUUACGAUUUGAAAAUGUGGCACCUCCUACUGUUUACCCCCCGAGCAUUGAUUAUCUUGAUGCCUAGCUCAGUUGUCUACUUUAGAUGAUGAUGCACAUGUUGCAUUUUUCUUUAUCUAUGUCAAAUAUUAUAUGGGAAUAUCUAAAAUAAAGGAUGCUAUAUAUAUAUGCUUAAUCUAUCUAUGUCUUAUUGUUCAUUUUUCCACGUGUAUUAUAAAUAAGGUGCAUCUAUGAAAUAUUUUUGUUCAAGUUUCCUAAUUCUAUUUUUUAUUCAUGUAAUCGUUUGGGACCCAAAUCAAUGAUAGAUAUCUUCCAUUGAUGUAUUUACAAAAACAAAAGGAACGUGGAGCUUCCCUGAGCCUAGUUCAAAUCUAUGAUCAGUUUGUAGCCCGUAAAAACAGGUUUUAAAUAAUAUUUAACAAAUCUAUGAUCAGUUUCCCAUUAAGGCUCACAUUUGAAUCACAAAGCAGUACUUAAGUUUUGAUAAAGUUUCAUCCAAAUUAUUACAUAAAUAAAACACUAUUUAAGAAAACUACACUUUUGCCAACAAAAAACUUAGUUUAACUGAUAUUUAUAUGUGUUAAAUAUCAAGAUAUCAAGAGAUAUGUAGUUUAAAUCCUCGUAACUCCAUUUUUGCUAACUUUUAACAUUUAAACCUAUUUAUAUUAUAGGUCUUUAAUGAUGAUCAAGGAUUGGAUGAAACUUAGAAAUAAAUUGUCGGUUGAAUAUAGGGAAGGAGUAUCCCAAUUCUUAGAAGUUGCAAAGUUUCAUGUCUAUGAUUUAGGACGAACAAGAUGUCCAUACAAGAAUUAUAUGACCUCAAUGUGGGAGUCAUUAGAGGGUGUGGAGCGACAUCUAUUAACAGUUGGAAUAUCCCCCUCGUAAGUUACUUAAUGUACUAUCUAACUAAGUCAAGGAUUUUAGGUGACUUACUUCUUUUAAUGUAUCAUUGCGUUCUAAGUAAGUUAUUUGAUGUAUUAUUUUUGUUGUUUACAAAUAGGAGCAAUCAAAGAGUAACAAGAUUAAUAGAGGAAAAUGACCAUACAAUCGUAUUAGCGAGUGCAAGUCAUUACUACAUAGAUAUACACAAUUUCAGUUAAGUGAACAAUGAGGUGAACCGGGACACGUGGACCUAUUCAAAGAAACGUACUCCAAUAAGAGUGGCCAGUUCAUGAAUCAAGUUGCUGAGGAUGCACAAGGAAGGACUCGAAGUUGUUUAUUUUCUAGUUGUUUUGAGUGCACACCUUAACUAUUUGUGUGUAGAAUCAAACUCUGGAAUUACUUUCAGCACCCACUCUGAAAUGUUCUCAACCAUUAUCAAGGGACAAUAUAUGCAAGACAAUGUUGGGUAGACGACUUGGUUAUUCAAAAUGUUUUGGUUGAGGCCCCAAACCCAAGUCAAGGAAGGGUGGUACAGCUCAUCGAGUUCAGUGUCUCAAGAAAUGCACGACAAGGAGGUGAGGGAACUAAGAGCCAACUUUGAGAUGUCAUAAUCGAAGAUUAAAGAACAAAGACAUGAUUGAAGAACAAAGAAGAAUGUGAGAGACGCAUGCACCACAAGUGGAAGAAAUGGAAUAAAUGAUUGAAGAAAUAUCACAAGCACAAAGAGGACCUUGAAUUUUAGGUGCAUAUUCUUCAGAUUUCUAAUUUUUUAUGAUUGAGGAUAGGUAGAUUUAUUUCAAAUUAUUGGUUCUGGCUAUCUUCCAGUUAUGGUAGCCUUUUGUAACGCCUGAGAUUAGGAGGGAGACAUCAAUGAAUGGUAUCACAUUUGAAUAAUAGGGAUCCUGAGGACAUGAAAGUAAUGUUAAGAAAGAUUUAGAAGAAUUAAAUGUAAUGUUAAGAAAGACUUAAAAGAAUUAAAAGUUAAUACCUAUAUCAACAACGUGCACCUUCCUUUUCAGUGGCUUGAUUAUAGGAACUUCAAAGUUAAGUGUGCUUAGCUUGGUGCAAUUCUAGAUUGGGUGACCUCUUGUGAAUAUUUCUAGGAUGCGUGUGAAUGAGGGCAAGCAUGCUUGGUGCAAUUCUAUAUUGGGUGACCUCUUGGGAAUAUUUCUAGGAUGCGUGUGAAUGAGGGCAAAGCAUGCUAAAAGGACUCGUGUUGGUUUUAUAGAGAAAACUUUAACUUUAAUAAGCUUUUAAGGAUAGUAAGGAUGAUGUUGCCAGGUAGUAGGGGACGCAGGGGAAUGUCGGAGAUCCGAAUUCUAAAUCUUGAUUCAAAUAUUGGGCUUAGGACAUUACAGUUGGUAUUAGAGCCUCAGUUUUAGGUUAUGUAGACUGACUUACAAUGUAAGUCUUUGAUUUUUAUCCCUAUGGCUAACACGGUCCUUCGUCACACGCCAUGUAUGUUUUAUGAUAUAAGUUUAUGAUUAUGCAUAUAUGACCUUGCCUGAAUUACACUAUAUAAGUAUGAAUGUUAUGAAUGAAUUUUUUGUAAAAGACUUUUGGUGGUGGAAUUUAGGAAAAAUGUCGCCACAUAGAAGUGUUCGUAUAAGUGCUCAAAGGGAUGAUCGAGUGGGCAAAAGAGUAUGACAUAAUCAGUUUAAUGGACUGUUUUAUGGUUGAAAAUUUAAGAAAUAAGUUAUGAUGGUGGUUUUAAAGGGAACUAAAUGCAUGAUUUAGUUCAAGUAUACUAAGCACAUCAAGUUGUGUUUAGAGUUGAGAUGUUAGGGAAGGAGCAAAGAAAACUUUAGUGAAUAAUUGUCUUCAUGUGACCUUAAGAAAUAGUUGUUUGAGUUUUCCAUGAAGUAAAAGUUACCAAUUUGAAGUUUGAAAAAAAAAAUGAAAUUAGUUUUAACCAUGCAAGCAUAGACUGUUCAACAAGGAGGUAGUUUUAAUCCUCAUGUAAAAACUAAUUUCAAGUACAAAGGGGCUGGGACUGUGGUCUUACCCAAAGUUAUCCCAGGCAUGAAGGCUAGUAAAUUGCUUGACCAGGGUACCUGAAGUAUCUUGAAUAGUGUAGUAGACAUUAGAGGAUUACUGCCUCACAACGAAUUUGAGUUUGCUCUUGAGUUAAAGCUAGACUUCGUUCCUAUUUCGAGAGCUCCGUACGAAAUGGCUCAAACGGAGGUGGAGGAGCUGAAGGUCCAGUUGCAGGAAUUACAAGAAAAAAGUUUUAUUCAACCGAGUGUGUCACCUUCGGGUGCACCAGUUUUUCUUAUUAAGAAGAAAGAUGGGUCGAUGUGUUUACGUAUUAUUGAUUAUAGAGUGUUGAAUAAGGUGGCUGUUAAGAACAAAUUUAUUUUACCAAGGAUUGAUUAUUUUUUUCCCAACUGCAAGGAAUGAGCCAGUGUGUUCUCUAAGAUUGAUUUACGUUCAGGCUACCACCAAUUGAGGAUUAGAGACAGUGAUAUUCCUAAGAUUACCUUUUGUUCAAUAUAUGGACAUCAUAAGUUUAUUGUGAGGUCUUUUCGCUUGACAAAUGCUCCCGUUGUAUUCAUGAAUGUGAUGAACUGGGUGUUUAAGGAUUUCUUAGACACUCUUAUAAUAGUUUUUAUUGAUGACAUCUUUGUUUACUCCAAGAUAGAGAUUGAACAUGAGGAGCAUUUGCAUAAGGUUUCGGAGAUUCUUCAAACCAAUAAGCUAUAUGCUAAGUUUACAAAAUGUGAGUUUGGAUGAGGCAAACAUUUUUCUAGGUUGUGGUGUUUAGAGGUGGCAUUUCUAUAGACCCAACAAAGAUUGAAGUUGUUAUUAGUUGACCUCAACCUCCUACAGUUUGUGAAGUUCGUAGUUUUAUGGGUUUAGCAGGUAUAGGAGAUUCGUGGAAGGUUUCUCUCGUGUAGCGAGUCAUUCGACUCAGUUGACCAGGAAAGAGACUUCUUUUGUUUGGAGCCCAGCAUGUGAGAGCAUUUUGUAAUUCAUGUAAAUAAGAAAUUAUUUUGUGUAUAAUAGCCUUGUUCUAAAGGAGUUGCAUUUAAAUUUUGUGGGUGUGAGGCCCAGAUCAUGGACUACCUUCGCAAUAAGACAACAUGCGACGAAGGUGGUCUAGGCGAGAAGAAGAACUAAGUGGUAAAAUGACCAAGCUAAGAACCCCCACCGCGAGAUAGGCACACUUCUCCAUAAAAUAAUGACAUCAUUACACACGUAAGAAAGUCAGCGAAUAGUUUGACCUCAUUGCCCUAUCUGAUUCCAAAUAAGGAUUUAGUAGAGACACGUGACAUUUUAGUAUUGGACCACCUUCCACCGUCGACAGUUGCAAUCAUUUCGGCAUGGGUAGACUCCACCUGGAAAAGGCUAUAAAUAGUGGGAUUUCAGUUAUUCUAAGGUUGUUCUUUUGGCCAUUAGCUUCUUUAGAAGAAAGAUUUGAAAAAAAAUUGAGACCUUCAGGAACCAAGAUCAACCAAAAUCUGGCAAGGACCUGCAAAGCAAGUGCAAAGGAGAAACUUGAAGUUGAAGGCUAGACGAAGAAACUAGCAGUUUGUGAUGGUGAGUAGUUAUCUUUCUAAAAGGAUUUCAAAGUCCAUAAAUGAAUCUGUGAAUGCCCUUCUUAAGAGAUUUAAAUCAUAUAUGUGUUAUCCCCUUGUUUUUCCUAAUAUUAUAAUGUCAGCGUAUGCUUGAACUAAUUUAACUCGAUUUAAUAAAAGAAUGAAAUACUUAUAUUGUCGUGCAUGAGAUAUGAUGACUAGUAAAUGUAAGGCCUUGAUUUCGUACCAUCAAUGCAACAAAGACCCUACGACGGUGACAUAAUGAAAAACAUUUGGAUCAUAGAAUAUGCUCUAUAGAGGGAGUAUAUGUACAGAACCAAACCCUAAGAAGGAAGUCUGGAUGAAGAAAAUCAUUGCGGAGGAAUCACUUGGGUAAGAGUGUAGUGCACGAGGAUGAGCAUAAAAGAAGAGAAAUACAUGUAUAAGUUAUAUCUGAAAAGAUAAAAGUCCUAUGGCAGCGGAAGAUUUUACAAAAUCAUUUCUCAAAUUAAUUUGGGAAUCUUAAAAUACCAGUACAUUUUAAAAAUUUUAGAAUCAAAAUUCUAAAUAAAAGAUACAGAGAACAUACUUUUCUUGACGUCUUUAAAUUUGCAAACCAUCGAAUUGGGACACCACCCGUCGGAGAUCUUCCUAUCCUCUGGGAUGAGAUUGAUUCGUGGAAACCAAUUGGGAUGGAAAAAAGUUUAGAGGUAAUUGAGAGAAACUCUUUUCUUUUUGCAAAGCAAAAGCCUUUGUUUUCUUUUCUUGAUCGAAAAAAACUGUUUUCUUCUAGAUAUUUAUAACUCUUUUUCCUUCUUGGAAUAGUAAAAGAAGUAGGAAAGAAUAAUGAGAUUCUAUUAGCAAUAUCUUAUAGAUUUAAUUAAAUAAAACUAAAUUAUUAAUUAAUUAUCCAACUAAUUAAUAGCUAAAUUAAAUAUAUUAUAUUUAACUUAAAUUAAAUUUAAUGAUACUCAAAUAUAAGUUCUCUUAUAACCAAUAGUUUUAAUAUGAAGAACUCAUUCAAAUAUUUUAUUUCUUAUAAAUUAAUUUUGAAUCAUAUCCAAAAUUAAAUUUAUAUAAUAAAGUUCGAUAAACUUUAUAUUAUAAUGUAUCACUAUACGUUAAACUAAUUCCCAAAGUAAAUUUGAAUAUUUCAAAUUACAACCAAUAUGACUAAAUCUCAUUACCAUUUACGAGCUAGGAAGGGGACCUAAUGAACCUACAGAUCAGAAGCUACAACGAUCUAAGAUUAAUUGGCUAAACUCAUUAACCACAUUAAUUAAUAUUCGUUAACUGUGUGUACACUCUACUAAAGACUCACAGCUGAACUCUUCUCAUUGUAAAUAUAUUUUUGUGUCCACGGAUAUAGACCAAUAACAGUAAGUUAGUCCUUCCCGAGUGUUUGUAACACCAGCUGGGUCAAUUUAUCGUUUUACUCCUGGGUUACCUCUAAUCCUUAAAUAUCAGUGUUCCUCUAAUGAACAACAUGUUUAUGGUCCUACCAAUAAAUAGAAACCCCUCUCAUGCCACAGAGGGGUAGGGCUCUUUGUUCAAGACCUGGAGACACCAUUUAAGGGAACACUUAUCUACUUUUCCUUUUCCUAAAGUAGGGAAUGAGUAAAUUUCAUCUUGUGUAAUUAUGUUCCCAACUCUCCACUUGGUCUUGUCCCCAAAAUGAUAAGCUUAUUGAGUCAGUUAUAUGCCCACUCUCACCCAUACAAAUCAAAGGACAAUCCCUCGCGAACAAGAGUUCAUAACACACUUAGGAUUAAGACUAAGUUACGUAGGUCAUCCUAGUGAAAUAGAAACCUAACAAAUUAACGGAGUUACAUCUAGUGGUUACUAUUUUGUGAUCCGAUCUUAUGCAAUCUCCUUGCAUAGGAUACCCUCACUCACAUAUCAACUACACGAAUGCGUUGGAUCAUUGUGUUUGUGUCAAAUACAAAAUGAGUCGUAUCCACAGUGUUACCAGGAUAAGGUAUCCAAUUUUAUCCAUAUACUAUAGACCCUUUAAGCUUAUCUUGAACAUUGAUCCCUAUGUGUCUCUACAUACUGUUCAAAACUCAUUAAAGAACUUAGGAUGUUAGUUUAUUGGAUUUGGGUCAAUGGAUUAUAUUUAUAACCUACGAGUAUUAGGCUAUAAAUAACAACAAUAUUGCGCAUAUGUAUGCAACGCGAUAAGGACAAGUGGCAAGAAGAAGCCUAUAUUGGAUGUCGAGAAUUAGGCAUUCGAUACAGUGGUUCAAGAAGAAGCACUUUGAAGGAUUUGAAGAAUUCUUUCACAUAAAAUACUUGUUUUGGUUGGGAGGUUAAAAUAAUAGGUCUGCUUUAUGUCCAAUACGUUUGAGAUCCAUGAUGAUAAAUCCAAGCUCGUUCACUUUGACUAUAUUUCUAUUAUCAACCCAAUCGCAGUUAAAUAAAACAAAAUAUAAUUUAUGGUAAUCAAUCUCCCAUAUCUCUUUAUUAUAUCAUAAAAUGUCAUAUCUGAUAUGAUAGGGUUUUUGUCUUUAGAACUAGACAUUUGCAUUGUAGUGAUUGUUAUAUUAACUCCACUAUUUUGAACUCUCCUAAUAUCAUCACGCCUUUUUGUGUGAUUGUAAUAACCAUUGAUCAUGUAACCAUAAUAAAUGGUCAUAUCUAGAGAAGAUCUAUGAGCUAUCCAUCUUAAGGAAGGCCUAAUGAAAUUUUUUGGAACUUCGAGAGAAGGGAAAUCAACAAAAUAUAUUGGAUCUGAUUAGGAUAGAUCCAAAAUAAACAUGAGGUGUAUGGUUAUAGUGAUUACCCGUGUGGACAACCCCCGAAUGAAUGUGCGAUUAUGCUCUUCUUGAAUCCAUCUUUUUGUUUUAGAUUUACCACAGUUAAUCUUACGCAACUUCUCCAUAUGUUGUCUGUCAUAAAUGACAAAGUUAUUAGGUAAUUACACAACCAACUUAUGUAAUAUGAGAAUAAAUAGAGUUUAGAACGUACUUGACGUAUUGUAGAACAUAAUUUACAUUCUGAAUAACGUAAAGAUAAGCUUGACCUAAUUGUUCCUUACUCAAUCUGAUAAAAGAAGAAGCUGAUAAUGCUCUAUCCACAUUUGAAUCCACUUUUAUUACAGAUGAGCUUAGUACAAUAGAACUAACUCCAGCCAUAAAUUCAUAACAGAACUUUAUAGCCUCUUCAACAAUAUAAUUUUCUACCAUACAUCCUUCUGGCUGAUUUCUGUUUCAUGCAUAAGUUUUCAUAACUUUCACGUAUCAUUCAAAAGGAUACAUCCACCUUAGAUGAAUAGGUCCACAGAACUCGAUUUCUCUUAUAAGAUGCACUACAAGGUGUACCAUUAUAGUGAAAAAUGAUGGUGGAAAAUACUUCUCUAAUAGGCAUAGAGUGAUAACUACAUCUUCUUACAUUCCUUUUAAUUGUGAUGAAUUAAUUGUCUUCUUACAUAUAGCAUUAAAGAAGAAGCAUAGUCAAACAUUUACAAGUCUUACAUGUUUUGGUAAAAUACCACAAAUUGCCACAGGUAGCAACUGUUGCAUAAGAACAUGAUGGUCAUGCGACUUUAGUCUAUAGAGUUUCAAAUUUGUGAGUGACACUAAACUUUGAAUGUUUGAUGAAUAGCCUUCAGAUACUUUAAGUUCAGAUAGUGUCUUACAAAAACUCAUCUUCUCCGCUCGAGAUAAUGUAUAACAUGUUGGGGGUAAAAAGAUCUUUUUCUCCCUUACUUGAGGGGCUAACUCUGAUCUAAUGUUCAGCUCCACCAAAUCUAAUCAACUCUUGACUCCAUUUUUCGUUUUACCAGAAAUAUCAAGCAAUGUGCCAAUGAGAUUUGCACACUUUUUUUUCGAUGUGGACAUCUAAAAAAUAUCACACAUCAAAGUACUUCCAAUAUUCUAAUUAGAAAAAAUAUAUUUUUUCUUCCAAUAAGUCCUCAAGAACUCGUUUCAUUGUUCUUUUCCUUGAUAGUUCUCUUACCAAAUGAAUGUUUGUACUUACUUGGUUGUACAAGAAUUUCUUUCUCACUCAAUAGUUAUAGAGUGGAUCCUAGUUCUUGUGUACCAUUGAAAAAUUUCUUCUGUCUUCUAUAUGGAUGAUGACAUGGUAGAAACUUGUGAUGCCCAAUAUAUGUCAUCUUUCUUCUUUUUGGCAAAUAAAUAGAUAAAGUAUUCUUCCCAAAAAUUGGACAUGCAUGAUAUCCUUUGACCGUACAACUACACAAGUUGCCAUAUGCAAGAAAAUUAUUAAUGGUCCAUAAUAAAAUAACUUUGAGCCUGAAACAUUGAUCUUAAUAUGCACCGUAACAUUCCACCUCAUCAUGCCAAUUUUUUUUUUAAAUCAUCAACUAAUAGAGCUAAAUAAAUAUCUAUUUUAUUUUUCGGUUGUUUGAGACCAGAUAUUAGUGCAAUCAACACAAAAAAAAUUUGCUUCAUACACAACCAUGGAGGUAGGUUGUAUGUCACUAACAACACUGGUUAACAACUAUAUCUACUACUAAGAUCUGCAUGCGGAUUGACCCCAUUUGUGGAAAGAGCAAGACGCAUAUUUCUAGGUUCUAACUCAAACUCUGGCCACAGGCUGUCUAUUUUUUUUCCACGAUAAUUCAUAUUUUGGAUGUUGUAAUAAACCAUUCACUACUUUUUUUCUGGCAUGUCAUGUCAAUAAUUUUAAUGAUUCUUUACUUUGAAACAUUCUUUCAAAUCUUGGAAUUGGAGAGAAAUACAACGACCUUCACUGGAACAUUCUUAACCUCCUUCUUUGAAUUUUUAGGAAUCUUCCAUCUUGACAUAUGACAAGAGGGGCAUAGAUUUGCAUAAGAGAGUUCUAUACUAAACAAGCAACAAUCAUUCCUAAAUGCAUGGAUCUUUUCGUACUUCAUUCCAAGAGUACACAAAAUCUUUUUUGCUUCAUAAGUAAACGUAGGGAUUUUAUGAGUAGGUUCGUCACACACUAAUUCUAACAACCCACUGAAACUCUUAUCACUCCAUCCAAAUUUAGCUUUCAAAUUAUAUAACUUCAUCAAUGCAGAAAUUUUGGUAAAAUUUUUACAAUUAGGAAAUCAUGGUUUCUUGGCAUCAUCUAGUAGUUCCUCAAUUUUUUGUGACUUGUCAUCAAAAUAAUUGUGUGUAGGCCUCAAACAUUCCAAUUGUGUCAUGAAUAUCAUCCUCAUCAAUUUCUUCUUUUUCACUACUAAAGUCACUUUCAUUGUUGCUUUUAAUUGGUAGUGAUUCACCAUUAAACAUCCAUACUUGAUAACUCUAAUCGAUGUCAUUAAAAAAUAAGUGAUCUCUAAUUGUAUUCACAACUAAAGUCUUUGCAUUUUCGCACUUUAAACAAGGGUAAGUCAUGACGUUCGACGUUUUCGAAGGUUUCAACCCAUUUUUAAUAAACAUCUCAACCCCAAAAGCAUAAUCAAUUGACAUUCUAUUCUUUUUCAUCCAUGAAUUAUCCAUAUUAUAUAAGAUGCAACUUAAUCUACAAAAAAAAAAGUUAAAAAAAAACAUAAUUAAGUAAUCUUAAACUUGUGCACUUAACUAUAAUCUACAAUAGUACUUAAAAUCUCAAAUUAAAACCAACAAGUUCUAUAUACACUCAAACAACCAAAAAGUUAUAUAUACGUUCAAACAGCUACAAAACUCGCAAUUGUAUCAAUCAAGUAAAAAGAAAAUAUCAAAUUAAAAGCAUCCACAAAGAUCAAACACAAAUUUCUAACCAUCAUUACAACAUAUAAUUCCAAAUGAAGGCAGUGAACAAGACUUUAGGGAUUUCUUAUGACAUGUAAUUCCAUACUUCUAACAAUAAUCAAUAUGACAUAUUUCUCACUUCAUUUCUUAAUUAAAAACAAAGUAAUUUAAUUGACAUAUGUAAAUAGCAAUAUAACCAAAUAUUUCAGCCAAAAACCAAACGCACUACUAAAGUAUCUAAUAACCUAACUAUGGUAUAAUACUAAAACUCAAUCCAAAAAGUAGACGGAAGUUGAACUAAUUAAAAUAAUAACCACACUAUAUUUUAGAAAAUCUGUCUUUAUGGUACUUUUUUAUGGUUAAAACAAUGUUGAAACAUAUACACAAUAUGAAAUAUAUAGUGCAGUAGUGUAUGAGAUACCUCAAAGUCCUACAAGUUCUACAUGUUUUACAAAUGACAGAGUAUAAAAUAUUCGAAACAAUCUUACAAGUUCUACAAAUCUCACAACCAAGCUUUUUAAUUACCAUACACGUGAUAUCAAUAAUAAAAACUCACAAUCACCAGUUCUACAAAUCCAACAGUCGUGCACCACAAUCAUCUAGAAAAGAAUAAAAAAUCAAAGUAAAUUUAGAUAAGUGAUUUUCAAACCAAACAAGAGCAAGUGCAACUUACAUUUUUUUACUUUGAAAUCGUUCAAGGCGUUCAACGGACGGCACUUCGAUUCGAAUGCAGAUCUGGCCACGACUUGCAAGGGUAAGUAUAUAUCAGAUCCAACCUUAUAUACUAGAUUCGAGCUUAGAUAAGUGAUUUCAAAACAAAAAAAAAAAAGAAAA
Molecule: long non-coding RNA, 68103 nt
Filed under: Cucumis sativus (cucumber)
Lineage: Eukaryota; Viridiplantae; Streptophyta; Magnoliopsida; Cucurbitales; Cucurbitaceae
Description: long non-coding RNA (CSAT_LNC001464)
Source: RNAcentral